UUGCUUCUAAGGUAAAUUCAUAGUUAAACUAUCUUUUACUAAAGUCAUAUAUGAGACACUUGUCUUUUUAAAAGGAAUACAUGAAGACAUAUGUAAGUCUAUCCAUCCACCAUGUGAACCAUUUUGUUAUUUUAUAAUUUUAAUAGAUGUCUCUACUAGGUGAUCACAUAUUGUCUCAUUUCUACACAUAAUAUUGUCUUUCUAAGCUCUCUGCACAAAUAAUCAAAAUACAAACACAAUUUCUAGAUUAUCCAAUCAAGACAAUAUGUCUUGAUAAUGUUGGUCAACUUACUUCUCAAACGUUUAUCGACUAUUUUGUGUCAGUUAUGAUUAAAAUUGAGCAUCCUAUUGGCCAUACUCAUACCUAAAAUGGUUUAGAAAAAUCCCUCAGCAAAUGUCUUUAAUUAAUAUCUCAACCAUUACUAAUGAAAAUCAAAUUACCUACUUUAUUAGAGAAAUGAAAAGAAAAUAAUGAAAAGAGAAUAUAAGAGGUCAUUUGUAAAAUGCUUGUACCAUCUACUGAAUAUUGUACUUAACAUCUCUUUAAAAUUUUCCUACCAAAAAGAAAAACCCCAAAAAAACUUUCUUAGGUUAAGAAGCAAAAUUUCUUCUCACUUACAAAACCAAGGGACUAAAAUUAAGAAAAUUUUGAAAUCUCCUCAUUUCUCUUCUCUUAUUCCUUGUCAAAUGAGGUGUUAAUCUAAGAUAAUAGCAACACCCUUACAACCUUUUCAUUGCAUUAACAUGUAUUGAUACUGUUAAGUAUUAAUGUAGAAUAAAACCAAUGAAGAUUAAAUAGUAUCUUGGUGUUUUAUUUACUAUUUUGAGAGAGUCAUAUUUCCCUUUUGUCUCUAGUAAAUAAAUUUGAAACUAAGCACAUUCAAGAGAAAUUCUAGAUAUUGUUGUGAACUAACUUAUAAUGAACCACACUUUAAUAUAAAUAUUGGUGUGAAAGUGAAUACACCUUAGUUGGCAACAAUACAAUAGGAUGGUAAUCAAGACCAAAUCCAACGUCAAGAACAAUGUUUAUAAACUCAUUCCUAUAUUCAAGAAGAUUUUCCAUAAGGACUAUCAUUAAUUUAUUGAAAUAAAGUACAAAGACCAUACAAUAACAUCAAUGGUUGCUCCUAUGAAUGGUUUCUUAGUUUUAAACUUUGCAAGACUUCCUUUUUCUUCCUAUGUUUUCCUUAUUUCUUCAUUUUAUAUUUCUUUUAUAUAUAUAUAUAUAUAUAUAUGCAUGAACCAUUUGAUAAAUUUUCUAUUUCAACUUCUAUUGGCAAAUGGUUUCAAAUUUUUUUCCCUAUACUUUCUUGGAUUUCAAAAAAUAUUUCAUUCAAAAUUUCAACCAAGUUCAUUUACUAAAUCAUUUUGAAAACAAAAUCCUUAAACAACUAAGCUCUAUUCACUUUUUCUUUUCAUAGUAAAUAUUUAUGUGUAAACUUAAAUUCAAAAUGAUUUGAUCAUCCUUGACCAAAUCAAUUGCCCAUAUUUUAUAAUUUGAACAAGUGUUAAAGUCAUGCUUCAAGAUUGAAUAUAAAAAUAAUUACCUUUGCAAUGACUUCAUUUGCCUUUUAAAGAGAUAAUAUCGUAUGCAAAAGUAACACCAAUACUUGAUCCUACUACUGCAAAUUUUACUUACAAUAAAUAGGUUGAAAAAGUAUUAGAUUUUGAAUAUGCCUAAUGAACUAUCUUACCAUAAAUGUGCUUGAACUUCCAAAUCCAACAUAAGAAAAUACGCAUUACCACAACUUUCCCUAAGUUGGUAUCCAAAUGGUUAUUUGCAACCCACUUUAAUAUGUCAAAUUUAUAUGAAUGGCCUCCCUAAAUAUCAAUCCAAGAGUCUUAGCAACAUUGAAUUUAAGAAAAUUUAUUCUAGUCCUGAAUGACCAAAUUGUAAUCAAAUUUUGAAAUUUUCAUUUUUUCAUAAGAACAUACAACCAUACUAUGUUAAUAAUAUAUAGAAAUCAAAGGUCCAGACUAUUCAAUACGUAGCUAAAUGGACAUUAAAUUUACAUCUUUUAAAUUAAAAUUAUCAAAAAGUACAUAAAUUUAUAUACAUAGGAAAGCGCGGACCCGUAUUUUUCACUUGCAUCACCACUCAAUGGCAAGACUCAUUUUUAUUGGUGAAAAAUUAGUUUUGGAAAAUUCGAAGUCGCCACUUAUUUUAUUUUAUUUUGAAAGGGAAAAUAAAACAAAAAAGAAAAUCCUAAAAAAGUGACUCCAUAGUUUUUGGAAAAGCGUGUCUUUGAAAAACCUGAGUCUAAGCCCGGGGAUCGGGUUACCUAUUGGGAAUGUACCUCUAAAAGGUCCCCUUUAAGCCCUACUAAAGUCUCUACUGACUAAGAUGAGGGAAAUGGGGCAAUUAAUUGGUUGAUUAUAGAUGCCUAGGUAGGCUAGGUGAUUUAAAAAAAAUAGCAUGUCAAACAAGAAAAACCAAUCAUAAUCAUAAAGCAGAUUUAGGGUGUGUACCUGAACUGCUUCUCAAAUACUAUCAUAAAACAUCAAAGUUAGUAUAGAAAUAUAGCACACAACAUGUGUUUUAUCCAAGCAAAUCAAGCAUACAUCUAAGCACCUAAGAAUCACAUCAAGCAUAAAUAAGGUUCACAACAACAUGCAUGUUCAUAGAAUUCCGAAAAGUAAGUGAUAGAGAGCGUACCCGAAUAACAUGCAUAAUUUAUAAGAUUUCUCAAAAAAAUGCUAGAGUGGUUAAGACAAAUAUAUAUUAUAUAACAUCUUUAUUAUGUCUAAUAUACAGUACCAAAGCCAAAAUUGAGCCAAGAUAAAUCAAAUGACUCCAAAAAUAAUAACAAUUUCAAGUAAAGUAUAAUUCCAUUAGCAUGCAGUUAGAAAAUGAAGCAUCAAAAAACAAUUUCUGAAAAAUAUCUUGGAGUGGAAUUUAACUACAAAAAAAAUUUCAGGAAACAACUCCUUUACAUCUAGAACAAGAUACCAAAAGCCAAACACUCAUUCAAAUGGAAAAUUGCAGCAAAGACACCCAAAAGUUUUAGAAGGUCCAAAUUAAGCAAAAAAAAAAAAUAGUAUUAUGCAUAAACAAAUUUUUUAAAAAUAAUAAAAGAUCACAUAAAAUCGUUAAAAAAAAAAAAAUCACACACAUCGUUCAAAUAGUCUAUAUCACAGAAAAAAAUAAAUCCAGGGUCGGGGAGUACUCAAAAUAUUUUUAAAACACUCCAACUAAUCUGAUGUCCAAAUUCCAUUAUGUACAGUAGGUACGAUUUUGAAAAAUCAUAUGUCCCUCAAAAUGCAUAUUUUUUUAACAUUUUAUAUGUCUAAGAUCAAUUUUAAGAAGUAAAAAAUUAAAGAAAAAUAUCGAGUUAAAUUUAAAAAGUCAUUUGUUAUUUUAUUUUAAAUUUAUAGGAAGAUUUCAGGUGUCUAGAAUUGGUUGAAAACAGAGCCCCCCUAAAGAAUCGUUUAUAUCUUCUAUUCCAUAAUUUCUUUCUAACUUAAACAAAAUUUUAAAUUUAAGUUCAAGAAAUGAGGAAAAUCAUACAAGUUUUGGAAAUUUUUUAAAAAUAUUCCAAAGUUGCUAAAAUGAAUUUUAAAUCUAGAAGGUCAGUGGUUAAAUGAAAACUGGCAGCAAGGAAGGGUUUUGAAAAAAUUUCUUAUGUAGGGGUUCCAUCAAGUCCCAAAUUACUUUUACAUGAGUUGGUUCAAUGAAUUCCAUUAUUUGACACUAUGAAGUUUGUUCAUGCUUUUCAAAAAAAAAAAAAAGACAAGAGAAUAGUUGAAAAUCAAAUAAAAUAGUGAGAAUGCGUGCCAUGAGGAAAAAUGACAGCAAGAGGUUUCUUGAAAUCUGAAUUUUUUAUGAAUCUAGAAACUCUUUAAGGAUGAAAUUUGAAGGAAACUAGAAUCAUUUAAAAACCAAAGAAAGAGGAGGAUGGUGUGACUGCCCUUGAGAAUGAGUGAAUGGUGCGUGUAGGUAAGAUCGUUUGUGGAGGCUGGCUGAUUCUAUAUUACGCAUGUUGCAUGCUAUAACAUGGCUUCAAAGAGGACGCAAACCACCCCAUUUUCAAUCCUUGAUGUAGCUAUUAGUGGAGUCCAUUCAUAGUGGCAAUAGAGUUGUAACUUUUUGAGUUGUGUGCUAAAAUUGAAUUCCAAAUGCACUUUGUCCCCUGUAGCAUUGUUGAUUGCAUGAAAAAUGAUAGCAUGUCUGUCCAUAUGCAAACCGUUGACCCUUUUAUGCAUAGACUUUCACAAAGAGCUCAAAGCAACAAAAGACAUCAAACUAUUAAUGCUAUAGGGUACAGCCCCAUCAAUUUAAUUUCCUUAGAGGCAUCUAAAAGUGUUAAUGACUUGCAUAAAUGCACCAUUUUUUUUGUUCAUUUCGCGACAUGCAUGAACUCCACAUCAAUGAGUUCACAAUUAUUUUUUUAUCACCGACAGUCCACAUGAAUAGCUUGGGCUUCUCAAACUUCUCAGUGUGGGCAUGUUAUGCAUUAUGGAAUCUCUGGUUUUAGAUUGGAAUUGGGGUGAUGUUCUUGUUCUUUUUCCAAUAAUAGUAUCACUUAGAGACCAUGGUUGUGAAGUUAAGGUUAGUGACUGAGAUGGGAGAAUGAAGAAAGAUGGCCAUGCAUAGCCAUGAAAAAGUGAGAGUCUAGCACUCACGUGUCACCCAAUAAGAAUUCUAUGAUUGGAGGCUGGUACCCUAUGGAUGAACCCAGGGCUAAGACGCAAUAUACCCAAACCAUUCUGAUAAACUUUACCAAUAUACCCCACAUCUGGAUGUGAUUAGCCAUCAUCUCCAGGAUUUCCCAAGCUUGGGUUAUACGUUCUCUAGGAAGAUGCAUGUAAUGGGUAUGAUGGACGAACGAGAUAACCCCAAAUGUUGACCAGUCCAUUCAUCAAGAAAAACAGGUUCAACAAAUAACUCAACUACCAACCAAGUGUUUGCAACAAAGGGUAAAGGCAAUGAAGAACAGAGAUUGGGAGAUUUAAAAAAAAAAAAAAAACAUCCACAUGAGGAUAGAAUGACACUCAAGCAUGAUAAGGUCAAUGAAAUUGCAGCAGGAUAACCUCCCAUAAACAAGGAUGUGACCUAUAUCAAAACAGAUUGCAUUAUCACAGAAUUAUGAAAGUAAAUUCCCAAAAAGCAAUCUCAUGGCCAACUUUCUUCUCAACUUCCUGAUGAAUUUACAUCUAAGCAACUAGCAGCUAUCCUUGGGUUUGAUUUAGCAUUAUCCGAAGAGCUUGGCACUUACCCGCUAGGUUCCUCAUCCAAGUUCCCGAAAUCAAAAGGUGGAAGUCAAAAUCAAGGGACCCAGGCCACAAGAGAAAAGGUAUCAAAACAGAGAGAUGGUGAUGAUGCUAUUACCGUUUUUUGUGAUCUCUAUCCAUUAUGUAAAGAUGGCCAAUCUCUUCUAACAAACAAAUGUGUUUCGGUAGGCUUCUUUCUUUGAUGUAAAGCAGAAACCUAGGGAUGGAGAGUAAAUAGAAUAGAAAAAAAAAACUCUAGAAAACAAGGAGAAUAUCAAGGUUAUAAGUAACAAAAAAAAACCAACAACAAAAGAAGAAACUUUUCAGAUCAAAUGUCAUUUCACAAGUAAUCCAUGUGCUUAAAGAGGUGGUAAAGGGAAAAAAAAUCUAAACAAAAUAACAAAGUAUGAUUUCCAAGGCGUAGUGCAAUUAAAAUGAAAUCAGAUCAUCCUCAUCUUAAAUCAGACAAGCAAGAGAUGGAUAAUCAACCUUCAAACUCACCAGUAACCUAACAAACGACAUCUAAACACAGUAAAUAAUGAAAGGGAAUGGUGUGAAGGGAGAGAGUUUGAAGACCAUGCCAUAAGUAAUCCAUACCCAAACCAUAACAAGAAUAAUAAAAAAAAUGAUUUUUAGCAUUAAUACACAAAUUUGGAAGGUUGAAAAGAAAUGUACAGGCAGCCAUGAGGAUCAUACCUGAAAGUCCUUUUCUGUUUCCCCAGAGACUAACGAACUCCUCUUCUCUUUAACCAAACUUGAUGACCCAAAUGAACUCUCUCUCUCUUUUCAAUGUGUGUUGAAAAAAAUAUUUCUUUUUGAAAACCUCUCUUUUUCUAUCUCUUCACCUCCUCCAAAACCCAUAUGCCUGUGUUUUUUAUAACAAUUGGUAGCCGUUCCACCUCAGGAGUCUUACUCUCUCCGAAUUCCCUGUCUCAUCCAACAGAAAAAUCUCUUUUAAAUGUCAAAAAACCAAUCCAUGCAUAUCACCUAAAGAGUCCUACAUUUUCCAAAAACUUUUCCAUUGGUAGAUUUUUCUAUAAAAACUUCAAAUUAUUAAAUUAAAUAAAUGAAUAAAAAUAAAUAAAUAAAUAAAUCGGAGAAUGAUAAAAUAAUAAUAAUAAUAAUAAAUGAACAAAUAACAAGAUAAUUAACAAAUAAAUAAAAAAUAAUAAAAUAACUAAAUAAAUAAAAGUGAUUAAUAACAAUAAAAAUAAAUAAAAAUAUAAUAAAUGAUUAAAUAAAGGUGAUUGAUAAUAAUAAUAAUAAUAAUAAUAAUAAUAAUAAAUAAAUAAAUAAAUGAGAUAAAUGAGUCAUGCAACCAUACAAGUCACACUAAGAAUGUCUAGUGGGCCAAGUGAGCCUAAGUGAAUCUAGAUGGGCCUAAGGUAUCUAAAUGGGCCUAAGGUGGUGUCUAAUGGGUCAAGUACACCUAUACGAGUCUAGGGUGAGACUAGGUGGGCCUAACUAAGUCUAACCUAAAGUGCACCUAAGUGAAGCCUAAUCUAAACUUGAAAGGCAACCAAGGUCAUAAUGUGGAACCAGAUAAACCCCUCAACCAAAGUCUCCAAAGUGGCUCAAAAAAGAUAAGUUACAUGAGUAGUAAUGAGCCAUCAAAAAAACUAUUAUGGAGCAUUGGAAGUGAACUUAAAGACAUGUGCUAAAGGGACAAAAUAAAGGGUCUACAAAUAUGCCCCUCUUUGGUAGAGAUCAUGAGUGUAGAGAAUGUGAGUUGAAAUACGAAUAAUGAGUGGAACGAAGUGAACUGUACCAAAGAAUUAAAAGGAAGAGACUAGAGAUUUUGUCUUGGCACAUGAAGAGGUAAGGUCAAAAAAUGGGGUCGCAAUGGCAUGGAUGGAACGACUCUAUGUGGAGGGAUGACAAUGAAAGGAGAAAAGUGUAUGAUGAGUAGCACAGAGAUGGAAAAUGAUGAAAAGAAUGACUCAAGGUCAUGAAUGGGAUAAAUGACUCUAGGUUAAGAACUUUGGGCCUUAUAUGCUAGGAAUGACUCUUGGUCGAAAGCUCAGGGCUUUAAAUGAUAUGGAUGACUCUGGGUCAGAAGCUAAGGGCUUCAAAUGCUGUGGAUGACUCUGGGUCAUAAAUAAGAAGAAUGACUCAGGGUCGUGAGCUCAGAGCUCUAAAUGGAUAGCUAAUCAGGAUGCUUUCCAGCGCAUGAUGUUGGGUCGAGGCUACUCACAGGUGGCUAGAAUGAUGAAAAUGAAACAUCUCAGGGAUGUGAAGGAUACAAACAACUCCGGGUCGUGAGCUCAGGGCUUGGGAUGCCAUGAAUGACUCUGGGUCAUGAUGCAAUCAGUAACUCAAGGUUACGAUGAAUAGCUCAAGGCUAUGUGAACAACUCAGGGCUAUGAUCUCCAGGUUCUAUGAUUGAUUGACUAGAAAGAGAAUGCGACAUGCAAACUCCAGGCCAAACCACUCAUGGGUGACCAAAUGAUGAAGGCUCAGCUCAGAAUUGGAAAGACUCCGGAUCUUAAGGAAAUGAUAACUCAAGGCUACAAGACUCAGGGUCUAGAAGGAAUGGAUGGCUGAAGGCUAUAAGACUUAGGGUCUAGAAGGAAUUGCUUAUUGAAGGCUAUAAGACUCAAGGUCUAGAAAGAAUGGAUUUUGAAGGCUAUAAGACUCAAGGUCCAGAAGGAAUAGAUAAACAAGACCAACUUGAAAGUGGAUAGGAAGUGAAUGGGCUCAAAGUCGUAUACUCAAAAUGCCAAGGGUCAUACUACUGAACUUAAAAAGGGAAAUAUGUUCCAAUAUCCAAGGUGUUUGCACUGCUAAAACAACCAAUAAAUCAACCAUUCACUAAAAUCAAUGGGUCAGAAACAAAUGCAUCAUGACAAACCUCUGAAAAAUCUAAACUGAAUGAACUCUCUAUGUCUCAAAAGCUGCUCUGUCAACAAAUCUCAAAAGGUAAAUCUCGGAGUGUGUAUAUCAUGGCUCAUCUAAAAGCAAAUCUCAAAGCGCACAAAAUACAACUCAUCUAGAUAAUCCAAUCCACAAGAUAACAAUGACGAAAACAAUCUAUCUCAUGAGCACCUGGCUAAAUGAUCCACUCAUGUUCCUUGGGUGAAACCUGAUGUGAUCCAUCUCUAUCUCAACAAAAUCGUGUAUGGAGGUCUUAAUAUUGUCAAUCAUUGAAAGUCCUAGAUUAGUACUCAAUCCAAAACCCAGUUGGUUGUUGUCUUAAUCCCAAGGAUACUUAAAGAAAAUGGGGAAAUAUGCCCCAAUAUAAUAUUUGAUGUUGAAGUCAUGAGGUAAACAAACAACAAUGAUCAUCCAUCUAUGUACCGUUGCCUAAACACAAUCUCAUCAAGGAGAUGAGAAUAAGCCCCAGUAUAAUAUCUAAUGUUAAAGUCAUGAGGUAAACAAACAACAAUGAUCAUCCAUCUAUGUACCGCUGCCUAAACACAAUCUCAUCAAGAAGAGGGGAAUAUGCCCUAGUAUAAUAUCUAAUGUUGAAGUCAUGAGGUAAACAACCAACAAUGAUCAUCCAUCUAUGUAUCGCUGCCCAAACACAAUCUCAUCAAGGAGAGAGGAAUAUGCCCCAGUAUAAUAUAUGAUGUCGAAGUCAUGAGGUAAACAACCAACAAUGAUCAUCCAUCUAUGUACCGUUGCCCAAACACAAUCUCAUCAAGGAGAGGGGAAUAUGCCCCAAUAUGGAUAUCAUCCAACAACAACUAGGAACCUCGGAGAAAGGUGGAAAUAUGUCCCAGUGUGGAUAUUUGAUGCACAAUCAAAAGGAUGAGUCCAACAUCAUUAAUGAACUGUCCCCAAACUCAAAAAUCCAUCAAACAUCAAUAUGCCAAGCAAGAGAGAGACCAAAUGCUUCCAAAAGUAUCUUUCAUAAGAGAAAACAUAGUAACGACUAUUCUUCAACCAAUCUGCAAAAGCCUGUUCGAGUGAAGACUGUCAAAGAUGACGUCUAAUCUCAUGGCCUCAAGGUGGUCUUAAAACACGGGACGUAACGUAGGCUAGGAUGAAAAUGUAAAGAAAUGAAAGAAAAUUAGGCUCAAAUACCCAAUGAUCAAACCCAUAGUGUACAACGCGUAAGAGUCUCAUGAGCAUGUGAACUUAAAAGGAGUCGAUGAAGAUGUUGAGAGUGAAAUGAGAAAGAAGGAGAAGUGGUUAAGCCAUCAACAAAUAAUGUAAAUGAUGUGAAGAAAUGUGUCAAAUUGGGAAGGUGUAUAGGUGUUGGAAUGGAACGAAAAUGGAAUAAAUAGUAAGAAAAAAAUGAUGGGAAAUCAAAUGAAGGUAGUGAGAAGGUAAAAAGGAAUGAUGAGCAACGCAUAUCAAUACAACAAAGGUAAAUCAUAUCACCCAUGAUGGAGUAGUAGGGAAGACACUGAUUCAGAGACCUUAGUGAAAGGUUACUCAACUCUCAUACCUGUAAAGUACAACAACUCUGAUCCAAAAAACAAAGGAUCUUACAAAACUUAAAAAUCUCAUGAAAAACUCUCAUCCAUCCAACUGUAUAACGAAAAUGACUCAACGAGCAAAAAAAGCCCUCAUGGAAAACUCGCACAAAUCCUCAAUAAUAAACCCAAUAAAGCCUCAAAUGCUCAAUGGAAUAGGAUAUCAAGUACAAACAUAUCACUGCGUCUUUUUUUUUUCAAUGCGCAUACCUUGGUCAUCAAUAAAUCAUACUCCAAUGAGAAACUACAAGGAAUGAAUAAACUCUCUCAGAUCACUAACGAACAUAUGAAACCCCAUCCCAUAAGACAACCUCUCAAGUUAAAAUCUCUUAAUCAAUGCCAAAAGAUGGAAUGAAGAGAGUGAUAUGACUAGCAUUUAUGCAUCAAUAUGUGAAGAAUCAUCAUUCCAAGGGAAAGAAAUAUGAAAUGUAGCAACCAAUGAUAAAAACUAGGAUUGAGAUGAAAAUGUGAAAAUAAUGAAAUGUAACAGAUAGGGUGGUGAGGUGAUAAUAGCAAGGAUGAGGAAGAUAAGCCUAUAAGUCCAAAGCUCAUGAGACUUUCCUAGCACAACAUAACUAUACAUCAAAGAGCCCCAACCCGGGUGUAGAGAUGAUAAGCAAGGCUAUGGGAAAAAAAAUUAUAGCAUACCAUAUGAGGCUCAAUGGGUUAGCAAUGGUCCAAUAUAUCAAUAAAGGUGAUAAGGUGUAAGGCUAACCGAAAUGAUGACCACCCAUCAUGCGACCAUAAUCUUAAAUGUAAUACUUCUUCAACUGAUUUACAUUAUUAAGCUCUGAAAAUUGGUUUCCAUCUAAGUCGGUCAACCAUGCAGCCCCUUCUGGAGUCAACUCUCGAAUAACAUAGGGCUCACUCCAACUAGGUCUAAACUUUCCUCUAGGGUCUCCAACCAAAUCUCUGAAAAUCCUAAAAACCAAAUCUCAUUUCUCUAAUGGUCUAGGCUUAACCCGUUUCCUGAAUGCACGAGCCAUCUUUCUCUGAUAGGCCUGAACAUGAUUCACUGCUCUCAAUCUCCUUUCAUCUAAAAGGUUAAGCUGAUCAAAUCGAGCCUAGGCCCACUCUAUCUCGAAAAUCUGCUGCUCAAGGGCUACUCUUAAUGAACCUAUCUCUGUCUCGAUUGGCAAAACAAUCUCCAUACCAUACACUAGAGAGUAAGGUGUAACUUCUGUAAAGAUUCGAAAAGAGGUACGGUAUGCCCACAAUGCAAAAAAGAGUUUUUUUGACCAAUUUCGAGAAGUCUCAACCAUCUUCCUCAAAAUUCCCUUCAUGUUAUUAUUUGUUGUCUCUACUGCCUCAUUAGUUUGUGGCUUGUAUGCAGAUGAUAUGUGAUGAUGGAUGUUAUACCUCUAUAACAAAGUAUCUACCUCAACUCGGAAGUGCACCCCUCUAUUUGAAAUCAACUCAUGAGGAACCUUGUAGCGGCAAAUGAUGUGUGACCUGAUGAAACUGACAACUCUAGUAGAUGUCAACCUCGCAUAUGAUGCAACCUCCACCCAUUUGGUGAAAUAAUCUAUGGCGACUAGGAUGAACUCAUGACCACUGGAAUAUUUUGUGAAAUCUUCCCAAUAAUAUCAAUACCUCACAUUGAAAAUGGCCAUGGUGAGGUCAAAACAUGUAAUUCUGAUGGCGGUGCAUGAAUGAGAUCACCAUGAAUCUGAAACUAUGGGCAUUUAUGAACAAACUGACAACAAUUUGUCUCCAUAGUCAACCAGAAAUAACUUGUCCUCAUAAUCUUACGGGCUAGCAUGUGUCCUCCAAUGUGUGACCACAAACUCCUACGUGAACCUCUCUCGUCAUAUGGUCUAUGGAAUCUCGAUCUAAACACAAUAGGAGCAUACCAUCAGUUGAAUGCCUAUAUAAGGUAUCUCUACAAAUCACAAAUCUAGUGGCCAAUUGCCUCAAUGCUCUCCGAUCCUUGGCUGUGGCUACCUUAGGGUAUGUGCCAGAUUUGAGAAACUGAUAAAUGUCAUGAUACCAAGGUAGAUCAUCCUGGACCUCUGUUUCUCCAAUCAGACAACAAUAGGCAGGCGCAGACCUCAACUCAAUCAGCAAUGGACGUACAACCACAGAGUAGCUAAGGCGUCAGUAAACCAGUUCUAUGCUUUAGGCAGAUAAACAUAUCUCAAGUCAUCAAAUCUUCCAACCAGUAACUCCAAAUAAGAGUGAUACAACCUAAGCUUUACAUCCCUAGUCUUCCAAUCUCCUUGAAUCUAUUUGAGUACCAUAUUAAAGUCACCAAAUACCUCUAUCUGUCUAAUGCCAAGCUCUAAUGCAAUCUCUAAACCAAUGAUACAAGUUUCAUACUCAACUGUAUUAUUUGUGGUAGGAUGUCGACCAGAGAAUGCCAAAUGAAUGGACCUAGGAAUAUGAUCACCCUGAGAUGAUACCAACAAAACACCUAUCCCAUUCCCUAACUGAUUGGUUGCACCAUCGAAGUACAUGCAACAUCCUGAUAAGUUAGUCAUGACAACAAACUCCUAAUCUGGAAAAUCAUCAUUAACUGGUCUAUCCUCAUAUGUCGGUAGUGAGGCUAAGUGAUCGGCGACAAUACUUCCCUUAAUGGACUUCUAAGAAACAUACUAAAUAUUGAACUUUGUAAAAAAUAUGAGCCAUCUCAUCAAUCUACCAAUCAAUACAGGUCUGUCAAAUAAGUAUCUCAACGGAUCUAGGCGGGAUAUCAAGUGCACUAAAUACUCUGUCAUGUAAUGCCUCAAUCUCCUGGUAGCCCAAACUAGAGCUAAGCAAAGACGUUCAAUCAUAACAUAUCUCAUCUCAUACUCCAGCAUCCUCUUACUCGGAUACUAAAUAGCUCGCUCCUUCCCUGAGUCAUCAAGUUGAGCUAAAACACAUUCCAAGGCCAUAUCUGAAACUGAAAAAUAUAGAAGAAGUGGACGUCCCGACAUGGGAGGCACUAAGACAAAAAGAGAAAGAAAAUACUCAUUAAUCUUCUCAAAUGCAAGUUGGCAAUCAUCAUUCCAAACUAUUGGCUGGUUUUUCCUCAAUAAACGAAAGAUGGACUCACAUAUGUCUGUCAAUCUAGCUAUCAAUUGACUGAUGUACUGUAACCUGCCCAGAAAACCCCUGAUCUCUUUCUCAGUCCUCGACACAAGCAUGUCAAGUAUAGCUUUGAUCUUAUCUGGGUCGACCUUUAUGCCCUGCUCACUAACCAUAUGCCCCAACAAUUUCCCAAAAGUCACUCUGAAAGUGCACUUUUUGGGAUUUAGCCUCAAUCUGAAUUUUUGAAUCCUCUCAAAGAAUCUCUCUAGAGCUACUAGGUGAUCUGCUCUACCUUGGGAUUUCACAAUUAUAUCAUCCAUAUGAACUUUAACAUCCCUAUGCAUCAUGUCAUGAAAUAAAGUAGUAGCAGCCCUCUAAUAAGUGGCUCCUAUAUUCUUCAACCGGAAUGGUAUAACCCUGUAACAGAAGGUACCCUACUCAGUAAUAAAGGUUGUCUUUUCCAUAUCAUCUAGAGCCAUCAAAAUAUGAUUAUACCAUGAAAAACCAUCCAUGAAAGACAACAUUGAAUGGUCUACGGUGCUAUCGACCAACAAAUCAAUAUGUGGGAGAGAAAAGUCAUAUUUAGGGUUGGCUUUAUUACGGUCUUUGAAGUCAACACUAACUCUAACUUUGCUAACCUUUUUGGGAAAAUGGACGAUGUUAGCCAACCAUUCUGGAUACUUAACCAUUGAUAUAAAUCCAACACUGAGUUGUUUCUAAAUCUACUCCUUCACCUGCAGACUUCAACGUGGGUGCAAUCGCCUCAAUUUCUGCUUAACCGGUCUGGCAUGUGGCAUGAUAGGCAAGUGGUGUUAGACUAUAGAGGGAUCGAGACCAGGCAUGUCCUCAUAAGACCAUGCAAAGACUUCCAAGUAUGACCUGAGUAAAUAAAUAAGUCUAUCACUCUCAUCUAUGGAUAGGGAUGAACCAAUCUUCAGCUCUCUAGGCUUAUCCUCUAUGCCAAAAUUAACGGUCUCAACAUCCCCUAUAGCAGGUGAAACUCUCUCAUCUAUGGGAUUAGAGUCAUGAUCAAAAGAGUCUCUAUCUUAAUCGGGUUGUGCAAUCUCAUCAUCUAUAUCAAAUAUCUGUGGAGUGGGUGAGUGGAGUGUAGAUAUAAAGCUACUAUCACCAGAGACAAACGAAUACUAAAAAAUAGUCGAAUCCAUAAAUGAUGCAAUAGAAACAUCAUCAUAGCGGAAGACAAAUCCCGAUAAAACAUCAAAGAAAAGAUGUGGGUCCACAAGGUCGGACGCUCCAUCAACUGGGCUAAUAGUGCCCUCAAACAAACUACCAUCAUCAUCUAAAAGCUCUGGAAUAGGAAUAGUCUAGGUCUCCUCAACAACCUCAGUGGUAGACACCCCAAACGCAUCAAAUGGUGAAAUAGGCUUAAGCUGAACAAUACUGGUAAUUUGACUCAUGGUCAUCAUGUCCAUCUCAUCUCGGUACUCAUCAUGGGGAACAACUCCAUCAAUCAUCUCAAUGGGAUCAACGAUCACUCCAUCGUCAGUGACCUCCUUGAUUUGUGCCCAAUUGGUAUACCAGCUAAUUCUUGUCCUCUCAAUGGUCCCCGGCAAUGGCACCAUUUGAUUUCGUGCCCAACUGGUGUAUGUUCUGUUGAUUGGGGCUCAAUCAAUUGGUGUACCUUGAUUUUGGUCCUCAGACAAGAGUAAUCAACAAAAUUUAUAACCUAUAUCACCAUGUACUAGGAUAGCCUCAGCUAGCAUAGUAUAGUGGCUCUAGGAUCGUUCACUGGGAAGGGUUUUCAAUUUACAAUUGAUAUUAAUUCAAAGUAAAAUUGGUGCUUUUUCAUUUCAAGGUUAGCUUUAAAAGAAAACAUGAACUUUGGUUUAAAAAAGAUUGGUUUUAAACUAACCAAAAAUAAUAACUGAUUUUAAUUAUAAAUAAAAAUGUUUCUUGGAGUUUUUGGAUCACUGGGGUCAGGCUCCUACUACAAAAAUAGAGUUCUGGUCACUUGAAUCUUUUCCUCGCAUUGGAGAUUUAACAUAUAGUUGUAGACCCUCAAUUUUGUCCCUUUAGCACAUGUUUUUAAAAUUCGUUUUCAAUGCUUCAAAAUAGUUCCUUGGUGGCCCAUUACUACUCGUACAACUUACCUUUUUUUGAGUCACCUUGGAGACUUUGGUUAAGGGAUUAUCUGACCCUUUAUUGUGACCCUUGGCAGCCCUAACUUAGACUUAGGCUUUUCUUGUUUUUUAGGAUAGCUUUUAGAUACACUUGGCCCAUUCGGAUAUUUUUAGUGUGACUUAUAUGACUUGCAUGUUUGCAUCGCUCGUAGGGCCCAUUUUGUUGUUAAUUUGUUUAUUUUUAUUUUAUUUUAUUUUAUUUUCCUCUUUAUAUUAUUUUCCUUAACUUAUUUAUUUAUUUAUUAUUUUUACCAUUUUCUAAUUUAUUUACCUAUUUAUCUAUUAAUGCAAUUAUUUAACUUCUAAAAUUUCAUGUUUUUGCAAGGAAACUUACUAUUGAAGUUUAAGGAAGGCGGGACUCUCCUUGGAAGGUUUGGGAGAGGAAUUUGAAAUUAUGAAGAUUGCUUUUGAAUUGGAAGAUUUAAAAAAAGGAUAAGGAGAAAAGAAGAGAGAAAAUAGGGGAUUUUUUCCUUUCGGGAACGGAUUUAGGAUUUAGGAGGUGAUAUAUAUAUGUGUGAGAGCUUUUUUGAAGGGAGGAGGAGAUUCUUUCUGGAGCAGCACGCAUUGGAGGAUUUUUUGCGGAGAAGCACAGCAGAAGCAAGAAGAAGAAAAAGGAACGAUUGCAGCCAAGACCAUCCAGGUAUGUUUUGCGACUAUUUACCUAUGCUUUAUCUUAUUCCAUUCUUGAGGAUCCUUUGACGGUUCUGGGUGUUUAUUUUGCUGAUUGGUGUGGACGGAAAGGGCCACAAAUUGCUGUGUUGAAAUUAAAUCUUUGUUUGUUUGGUAUGUUCUUCAUUCUGUUAAUGUCAUUAAUCCCAUCUGAAAAUAAAUUGCAUACAUGUCCAUCUUCGGACUGGAUGGUAGAAACCACUCCCUUUUUUUAUUCAAAUCUUAUUCUGAAUCACUCCCCUAUUAUGAGCUAAUAGAUUGAAAUGUAAAAUUGUGACUUUUGCUGGUCUUCUCCUCUUUCCAUACGUUUUGUUGUUUUCUUCUAUUUUGGCCCAUACCUCAACAAGCUCUAUUCCCGGUCUUCAAGAUUUGGUCUCUGUUUUGGAAUUAAAAAUUGAAAAAAAAAAAAAAAAGGAUACUCUUUUCCUGCAUCAAGAGCUCUCACAGAGGAUGUGUCAGAAUCUGAAAAACAAUCUGGGUCGUCUCCCUUCAGUAGCAAUUCGAAUUAGUUCUACGGAGGCUGCAUAUAAGGGCAAAAGUUGAGGAUGAGCAUUCGAGUGUGUUGAUUCUGGUGCUUGAUAUGUUGGCUAAGGCCUAUGUUAGGGUUGGUAUGUUUGAUGAAGCCAAUGAUGCUCUGUUUCAAACAAGAAGACAAGGGUUUGUUCCUCAUAUAAUGUCUUGCAAUUUUUUUUGAUGAAUCGCUUGAUUGAAUAUGGGAAGAUUGAUAUGGGGGUGACUCCAAGGUUUGGGAAGGCAGUCACAAGUUUUAGUACGGGCAUUAAACGCUCCAAAAUUCUGGAAUUGCUAUCACAACAUGGGAUCUAGAGAGGAUUGUCCAAGUGGCUUAUCGACUGUUUAUGCACCCAUUAAAUCUGGGUACUGUAAUACAGAUUUGAAGGUUCAUACGGGGAUCAGAGAUGUGGCUCCUCCGGAUCCGAAUAUUCCAAGGUUUACAUGUUUAUGUGCUCGCUAAGCUUGAUUACAAUGAUGUAAGUUUGUGGUUUGAUGUGGUGGUUAGAGAUAUGGUUUCUGGAAAUUUGAUUACUCCAGGGUAUCUACACGAAAGGAAGAGUGAGGAGCAUGGGAGUUGUUUGAAGAAAUGCCUACGAGAAGGAGCUUGAUUCCACCAUUAAGAAAAUCUAUAGUUUUAUAAGGGUAUUGUUCAGAAGCGUGCUGUUAUCACGAAACAGGGGGGAGAAAUCCAUAUAUUCGGCGAAGAGAGAAGAAACAGAGAACACGCAUUGAGAGGAGAGAGAUAGAUGGGCAGAUUCAAGUUUGGGAGCAAAUUCCUCGGUUCAAGAAAGGUGUAGUGACCGGAAACCUAGCAAUUGGAGAAGAGAUCAUGCAGCCACAAUUUCGUGAAGGCAAAAAGAUACAACAUGGGUGAGAAGCUCUAAAUUGUUCUCUGCGGAAGUACCAGCGGUUCAAGUAAAAUUAGAAAGAUAAGCAGUUCUGGGUUCCUAGCCAUCAUCUGCCCUUGCUUAUGUCUCAAUCAUACUUUAUCUCUAUGCUUUUCCACAACAUCAAAUUCUGCUGCCUUUCUUAAUGUUGGUUUGGAGUUGCUUGGGUUCAGGGAUCUGCACUUGUCCUAGAUGUUUAACUUGAGGAUAGAUAUUAUGAAGAACCUAACUUAAACAGUGGAGGAUCUUGUCAAAUGAAGGUUCCUAAUUUGCUCCCAUUUGUUUGAGGUGUCUUAAUUGAGGUUUGCUGGAAUCAGCACGUGGCCAAUUUUCAUGGCUGAUUUCCUACUGAUUUAUGGUUCAGGUUUGAAACCUGGUUUUGAUUUCAGUUGAUUAAAGCUAUUUGACAAUGACCACUGCAAACGACUUGUGGCUGUAAAGUUUGAGUUAUUUCGGUGUCCGUGUGAUGAUGUGAUUGCAGUGGAAGUGCUCAGAUCAGAGCUCAGUAGAAGAUCAUUGGCAGCUGAGCCUAAUAAGGAAUUCAAUCGGAAUGUUAACAUUGAGAUUUUCAAGAAAAGGAAGGUUCGCUGUUAAAACAGAGUGGAUAUCAGAAUGACCAAGAAUACGGAACUGAUAUUUCAGUAGGUUCUACUCGUUGCCCUCACGGACUAGUCCAGCAGUUUGCUUCCCUUGAUAACUUGAUCUAGCUGGCUAAGACUGAGAUACAAACUCCAUCUUUCCAAGGACAGAGUCUUGCAAAAGGGAAAAAGGAUUGCCCUUCGUUGUCUACAACAUUCUCAGUUGUGAGAGAGCAAAACAUGAAGUGAGAAUGGUUGUAAUGUUUGUGAAGCAAGAACUACCCAUCUCUGGACCGCAAAGGGCUCUAAGAAAUUCAAAGAGAAAAUUCAGUUACAGCAACUUCAAGGAACACUCUGGCAGUAAAGGAACUUUGCGGAAGGAAGCCCUUAAUAAGUAACCGAAUCCUAUGGUAAAGCAUGGCUUACGUCCCGGUACUUUGAAGAGCAGACUGUUUAAUAUUUUACCGAAUAAAAGAAGUAACGGUAUGAAAGUUCCAGACUUGGCAAUGUGUGUGCAGAUUUCUGAAUUGAAUCUUGAUGGUACGAUUGAGGAGCCGGAAUUUCUAAACAUAUUCUGCUCUUUGAAGUGACAUUACUUUAUAUGAAAAGAUUUCUAACUCUUCAUAUCGUCCAUGCAUUACUCCUCACACAAAUGUGGCUGCAAAUUUUCAAUCAUCAGACAUUGAUGACUCUGGGAGCAUUGACUAAGGACAGCAGAGAAUACAGCAGUAGUGAUAAUUCUGACUCUGAUUUAGGAACUUCCAAUUUAAACCAUUAUAAACAGAGAAAUGGCGUGUUGGAUAUAUAUGAAUCGAUAAGGUUUAUCCGGGAGAAGCAUGGUUGUUAGGAUUGAUGGAGGGUGAAAUUCGGAUUUAAGCAUCGAAGAGAAACCCGUAACUAGAGUAUUUCUAGAAACUUAACUGAAUAGCCCAGGUUUGGAUCCGGAGCUGGCAAUCUGAUGAUUCCAAGGAUGGGACUGUGGCACUCAUAAAGUUGUGACGAGAGUUUGUUGAAUUCAACGAGGGUGGCAAACAAAUUGAUGCUGAUGUUCAAAAGCGUAUCUCUGGUAGUCACGCUACUGCAUAUGUGACGACUUCGAUAGAGGAUAGUGAGCUGAUUAAUAAGAAAACCCUUCACCCAAAAUGUUUGGGAAACAUCCCUGCUAUUGAGAUGAGCUGAGCACCUCUCCGAGAAGUGGCUAUGUAUCAUGCUAAGUUGGCUGCCCGAAUUGAAUUAUUUUAGGAUCAGCAAAUAAAUAAAUAGAAUAAAGGCUCAAUGAAGAAACUUUUCCUCAAGAGCAUCCAGAAAUGCAGAUUAUCAAUGAUGUUGAUCGGGACAGAAAGGCUUCAUAAAUUAAUCCAGAAUUUGAAUACGUUGACGACCAUGUUGCUCUUGUAGUUUGUUUCUUUGAGAUGAAGAAGGGCCCUAAUUUCAACCUUUGGAAGCAUUUGAAGAGAACCAGAUUUAUCAAAAGAUGAUAUAGGAGGCAGACAUUGACUAAGUUCUCUGGAACACUUAGAAGUGUAAGUCAGAAUUUCAGCCUUGCUGCAAUAUAUGACGCCGACAUUGCCAACAAUUCCGCCAACCUACAGAAAAUUCCAAUGUUUGAUUUGAAUGCUGAUGAAAAACACAUUGCUUUUGUGAAGCUCUCAGAGAAGCACUGAUUAUUCCAUCUAUUGUACGUGUGUGACAUGAAGUCCAACGACAGAUUUGCUCCUCGAAGAUGCCAUGAUUGAAAUGAGGAUGAUGAUGCUUUGGCUAGUGGGAAUAUUAAAUCAUUAGAAAUCGACUAGGUAAAAGUUUGAUUGAUCUUGCUAUGUUUGAGACAACUUCCAGUGCUAACAGUAUGUAUCAGGCUGAACCUUUCUUCCUAGAGUCCAUUGGGUUGGUGGAUUUUGAAGACGAUUUUACUACUUAUAGUAAGUCGAAGCAAGUCAAAUCCAGCAGUAGUGAUGUUGGGACACAAUGCAAAUCAAUUAGUUCCUUGAAUUUAAACAGCAAAGCUGCAAUCAAAUAUCCACUCUUCCUAAUCCUUUACCAGCACCAAGCAAUUAAUGGAAUGACCAGAACGCAAAAGAUAACCCUCUCUCAGGAAAUGCAAGUCUCAAGAAAUGAGGAACUGCCGACAGAAUUGGAACACACCAGUUGACUCGCUUAGUUUGACAGAACACAUCAGCAAGUUAGCAUCUAACCAACAUGAAUAAGAAUCAGUGGGCUCACUUUACCUUGGUUGUCCUCUUGUUGAUGAUCUCCAAGUAAAUCAGAGGUAGCAAGUCCAGGUAUCAGAGAAUGGGGUAACUCAGCGAAGAGAGCAAGUGAAGAACCUACAGAUUGCCCAAUUACUCACCGAUAUGUUCCGGAUUCUCCAAUAGAAAGUGACAGAAUCAUGAAGCUGCCAGUAGGGGUUCCUGAGGGAGCUGAGAAACCUGCAGAAGAGUAUGAAAACAACAAAGAACUGAUCAUAGAGAAAGAGAGAGACGUCAGGGGGGUUUCCAGCCGUAUCCAUUGAAGUUGAAUCGGUUAAAUAAGAAUGACAUUCUGAGACAAUACUCGCUGAAAAUUCUAGAACGACAAAUUCUGAAGUGCAGACCUGCCCAUUGAUAGAAACUCCAUCUCAAAACCUUCAAACUCAUCCACUACAGACCAGAAUGUGAAAGAAAUCGUUCGAAGCCGGCAUUGGCAUUGGAUGAGCACACUCGGAGAUAAAUUUGAGAGCUGCCCAGAUGGUCUCCAAUCUUGAAGAUCUGAAAAAGAAUUUCACUUCUGAAUGGGAAAAGGGAGAAGAGAGCAUGAAGCAAACUUCGGUUUCCUUUGAGCCAGAGGAUAGAAAGGAUAAAUUCAGAUCAAGGCAAGUGUUGAAAUAGCGGGUUGAAAAUGGCAAGAAAGUGGAAGCAGUCCAGCCAGCUACAUUAGAAAGGGAAGAGGAAUUUAAGAAAAGAUAUGAAAGCUGGAACGAUCUAGAGGUCUUUGAGUUUCAUUAUGGUUCUCAUCAUCCUAGUGCUGGAAUUGCCCCAUCCUAUCUGCUGCGCCUGCCACCAUUCAGUGCAGAGAACCAAAAAUCACAGGGUGGUCAGUUUGACCAUGCUGAUCGCCUUUUCAAUCAUGGUUAAGUGCAGUUGGGAAAGGCAACACAUCAGAUGCGAAGGAAUUAAUUCCAGAAUUCUUUCAUAUGCCAGAGUUCUUGGAAAGUUGUUCCAAUCUUGACCUAGGAGAAAAACAAUCAAGGAAAAAGGUUAGUGAAGUUGUGUUACUUUCCUGGGCCAAAGGCAAUGCCAGAAAGUUUGUCAGGAAGCAUGGUCUUCAAUCUUUAGUCAGAUCAUGCACGAGUUCCUCGUAUAGCAGAAAGGAGAAGCUAAACCCUCUAAGGCGGAACCCCUCACAUGCCAGACAUACCACGAGCUUGUUGUUUUAAUUUAUGACUCAGUUGAAGUUGUUAAUCAGCUUAAACCACAAUAGCAGUGGGGGUCCUUGAGAGAUGUUGAUCCAGUGGAAUUAGAGCUAUAGUUGAAUCUGCUUGUGAGAAGCUUGUCACCUGUCAAAGUAGACCUCUAGAAUUCUAAUAAGUCUCUAUUUCCAUACCAGCGUUUCAGCCUCAAAAGUAGUCCCAAACUCCACUCCAUCACAGCAACCUUGCUAUAGGCAUCAUCUCCCCUACUUGCUUCUUUGAUUGGGAAUUUACUGUUUUAAAUUGAAUUUCAAAACCAUUGUUCAACUAAUCAUUCUCAACUUUGAAAAUUCAUCUUUAGACCUUCUCUAGGCAAUAAAAUCCAGAUUUCAACACCCUUUUGCUGCCAUUUUCCUUCUGGCAUAUAUUUUCAUCAUUUUCAACUAUUUUCAUGAUUUUCACGAUUUUCAACAAGCAUGAAUAAACUUCAUAAUUCCAAAUCAUGGAAUUUAUGGAAUCAACUCAUGCGAAAUUAAUUAGGGCUUUGGUGGGGGCCCGACAUUCAUGAUAUUCUCAUCAAUAUUGUUUACUUGAUAUGUUGAUUCUUUUUCUUCUUGAUGAUAAUCAUGAAUUCGUUUUAUAUCUAUUAUUGAGAUAUCCUUGCUUCCCAUAGAGAUGUGGAUGCUUGCUAAUCAGGUACGCCAUUUCUACCCCACAACCCUAAAAUUCUAUGAAUACGUACGAUAUCAUGAGCCAUGACCAUGUUCGAUACCAUAUUUGAUUGUCUUGAUGUUUGUUUGAUCAUCUUUGAUAAAAUACAUGUAAUGUGUCAUAUUUCCAAACUAAUCUCUUAUGUUUUAUGAUAGCGCUUGAGAAGCUGUUCAGGUACGCACUUCGACUCUCUCUUAGGGUUUGUUUUCUUGUUAGGCAUGCAAUAUUCGAAAUCACCUAGCCUACUUAGGUAUCCAUAAUUAACCGAUUAAUUGCCAUAUUCCCCUUAACUUAAUUAGUAGAGACCUCUUUAGGGCUUAGAGGGGUGCUACCUCCUAGAGGUACCUUCCCAAUAAGUAACCUGAUCCCCGGACUUAGACUCGGGUUUCUCAAAGACAUGCUUUUUCCAAAACUAUGGAGUCACUUUUUAGGGUUUUUCUUUCUUGUUUUAUUUUCCCUUUAAAAUAAAAAUAAAAUAGGUGGCGACUCCAACUUUUUUCAAAAAAUCAAAUUUUCACAAAUAAAUAAAAAGCGAGUCUCGCCGAUCGAGUGGGGACGCACGUGAAAAAUGCGGGUCCACAAUAGUUAUUUCUCGAACUGGUGUGGUACAGAUGCUUCCCUUUUAUGGAUUCAAACAAUAAAUCUCUCUCACUGAUUCAUCUUGCAAUGGCUCAUGCCUCUCACCUAACAUUUGUCAUUCAAGGUGAUCCUUAACCUUGGAUUACCCUUCAAAAGCUCGCAAGAGAUAACAAAUGGAUAUCUCCUUAGAGUCCAAAAGCUUACCAAGUGUUGGCUAUUCUAGAAAAUCCUACCUUUGAACCACCUCCCAAAGACUCGCAAGAGAUAAAUUAGUGUAUCUCAAUGGACGGAGAUCACUUGCCUUACCAAGUGUUGGCCCAGGUGAUUUAAAGGCGUUUUAAGUUAACUAAAAACAUAGAAACCAUUAACGGGUCACACUUUCUCUUCAUUAAAAGCCGAAACAACAAAACUUCCAAUUUUUGCAUUCGGCACCUUACCUAGCUUCCUUAACUCCAAGAGAUAAAAAUUCUAGCCACUCAUUCUCUGAGGAAACAUCCUCAAAGCUUGUUUUGCUAGUAAGAAAAAUACAAUCAAAAUGAGUAGGUAAGGCAGAGCAAAGCUCUGUGUAUUACUUCCUUCAAAACUAUACAAAAAGUUGGUAUCUAAGAACAAGCUCCCCAAGAUGCCUGUGUAAAGAAAAUUACAAACUAUAUAUAAGAGGUUAUUCACCCUUUGUUCUUACUUAUUAACUAAGGAAUCCUAUGAUUGGUGGAUUACAAGGAGAAAAUGGGGAUUUAAACAACAAAUAUCUGAAGUAAAAAUCUAAAAAAGUCGGUCGCAAAUAUCUGGAAGCACUCAGGUGGAUUUUGCAGCAUGCAACAUGGGCUACGAAAUUUCACAAGCUGAAAGUCUCCAUUUCGCACAAAAAGGUUGAUUUCGCAACUAGCAUAUUGUGAUUUCGCAGCUGCGAAAUUGCCUUUCAACUUGGUGCGAUUUGCUUCCAAUGGCCAUAACUUUUUCAUUUUAGCUCUAAUUUGUGCACUGUUUAAAGCGUUGGACUCCUGACUUCCCAAGCUUCGAAACGACAUAUAGUAUGCAUGAAAUGGACUCCAGGAAGUGCUCGAAAUAUGUCCAAGAAUUGCUAUCCUCUUGAAUUUCUUCAUGUUAGAUUUCUCUCUUUGUUUCUCCUCCUUGCAUUCAUGAUUUGCUUUUGGCAAAGGACUAUAAAGCUCUAAAGCUUGGAUUCUUCAUGUAAAUGAGCUUCCCUUUGCUUUGCCAAAGAUUAUAUAAAACUCUCCUCAAUCUUGGAUUGCUUUGGUGAUCAAAAAGCUAUCAAAAACACCAAGAUUAACACAAUUUGAUUAGAAAAUAUUGCAAGGGUCCUUAACAUGCCAAUUGAGUUAAAAGGUAAUAACUACUACUCAAAAGUGUUUAAAAAAGUUAAUUACAAGCUAUAAAAUAACACUUUUUGAGUAGUAAUCACUCCUCUAGGAAGCAUAGGGACAACAAACUAGCUCGAUCUGGAGAUGGAUGAGUAAUCGCCAUAGAAACAGAAGUGUCAGGAGCCCCAUCACUCAACUGUAACUAGUGAAAUAGAUACUGAAGCUCAAUCUCUCUAUCUGUAUGAACCACAUUGUCAAUCUCCUCUAGACGAGGUCAAAUCUCUGAUCAUUUGACAAAGUAGUUGGCCAAACUCAUCCUAAAAGGUCGAAUAUGAUAAUCAAAUGGUGUGUGAGACAAUCGAGCCUUCACUCUUUCCUUGUGCAGUUGCGCCAUGUAUUGGUAAUCGACUUCAGUAGGAAUGAACCCAAGUCCAAAUGUCGUAUCAUGGUCAAUAACAGUUAUAAACUCACUGGGUCCCUACUAACGUCGUCCUAACCUCAUACCAGGUAGAAAAGUCAUACCCCUCAUUAUAUCAAGAACCACUGUACUAUUGUGUUGAUCAAAUGACAAAGCUACAAAAUCUCUACAAAAAUCUUCAAUCUCAAGAGUCUGUAUCUCAUCAAAAGUAAACCCAGUUAGAAAUAGGUCAUCUUCACUGUGACUGAUUUGAAGUACUGGCUCGGAAGAGGAAAACAUAUCUCUAGUAAACUGUACCAUGAUGACCUGCCCUUCAUGAAUGAACUUCACCUUCUAAUGAAGGGAAUAAGGAAUAACUUCAGCUCUAUGUAUCCAAUGUCAACCUAAUAGCAAGUUAAAGGAUGUAGGAAUCCUUAAAACCUGGAACAAAGUAGAAAAUGUGACUGGACCAAUCAAUAAAUCAAUCACCAAGGUAUUAAUGACCUCCCUCUUAGUGCUAUCAUACGUUCUAACUAUCUGAGUAGAAGGACCAAAUUCUGAAGGUGUGAAACCAAGGGCUAUAGUAGUGGCUAAAGGGCAGACAUUCAGGGUUGAGCCAUUGUCCAACAUGAUAGAUGAAACUCUGUGGGCUGAAUAACCAACAGUGAUAUAUAGAGGGCGUAUGUGGUCUAAACCCUCAAGUGGAAAAUUGUUAUCUGAAAACACAAUGCAAGUGGCCCUAUUGGCCAUCAUCAUAUGAAUCAACCUCGCUAGAGUGGUGACAGUCUCUACCUUGAUCUAACUCAAGGCUCGAAUCAAAGCAUCUCUAUGAGUACUGGAUGAUGCUAAUAAACUCCAAAUAGAAAUACAAGUUUGGGCGCUCUGUAACUGUCUUAAAACCUCAUCAUCCUCUUUCCUAACCUCCUCACGAGGGGUUGCACCCUCAAAUGGUCUAACUGCUGGUGGUGGUGGUUGAGCUAUCCUCCCACUAUGAGUCGUAAUCUGUAUAUCUCUCCCCUCUAAAUCAUCAUCUUCUUGCCACAAAAUGAACUAGACAAAUGUAUCCUGACGUCUAAUAACCAAAUGUGUAGAAUGAGUCAAUUGGAACAGCGCGCCAUCUAGAAUCAAACUUAAUGGUGUGGAAACCUGAGGACCCAAUGAAAUCCCAUCAACCUCACUACUAUCAUACAAAACAAUCGACUCGGGUAAUCCAUCAUCCCAACUCAACAUAUGUAUAAUGUCAUCCUCUAUAAGGUCUAUGUGAUGUAUAUCUACUAGAGGUAGAGACACUGUAUGUGUAGAAUAGGCAGGAAGAAGGUUAAUGGUUACAGUUGGUUGUCCCAAGUUAACCAAACCCUGGUCUAUCAAAUCCUGAAUAGCAUGUCUCAGAGCGUUGCAGUGAUCCAUGUCAUGCCCUGGUCCCUGAUGAUAAGAACAAUGUAGGUCUAAUCUGAAAUGAGGCGGCACUGGCUGGGAUACUGGCUUUGAUGCCAAUAGAGUCAAUAAUCCACCCUUCAUGAACUUCCGAAAAGCUCGACUCAAAGGCAUACCCAACUGAGCAAACUAAUGUGAUGGCCUCUGCACAAAAGUAGUGGUCUACGGAGAUCAAGGUCGAGUGUAUGAGGCAUGAGGUCUCUCUAUGACAUGUGCAGCAAAAAUGGGUUGUGAGACUAGAUGUAGAUAAGUAAGAGUCAUGGGUCUAGAGGGAGUAGGUGGUUUAUACUACAUAUGAGGUGAUGGUAGGCAGUAGAAUCCAGAAGUCUGCCCAAUUGUCUGAUAGCAUCUAAAAGGUCUCAUCCCUAUUGAACUAAUAGCACCAACAUCUCCUAAUCUCUACCAUCCUAAAGGUUUCUUCCCCUUAGAGUUGGUAGAGGAAUACUCGAGCCAUAAACCUCUAGUUAUACCCUCCUCUAUACCAUAUAAGGCCUGUAAUAAAGAUCCAAAAUCCGUAUGAGGAAAUCUCAUCAAGUGCCUAGCAAACUUAGGUUGCAAGCUCCUCAUGAUCAUACUAAUCUGCUCAUUCUUUGAAGAACGAUCAAUAAUCUCUGAAAUCUUCUCCCUCUAGCGAGAGAUAAAAGAGGUGAUUGACUCCUUUAGCCUCUGUCUCAAAGCCUCUAACUCUCUCCUCGAAACAUCAAUGACAGUGUUAAACGCAAACUGUCUCAAAAACUCCUGGGUUAGAUCAUCCCAAGUUCGUCGGCGUGAUCCAUCCAUGAAACAAACCAACGCUGUGUUGCACCACUCAGGGAGAAAAGAAAAACCAUUUAGGCUUCAUCCAGUCCAUGGGCCCUCAUAACCAUACUGUAAAGCCUCAAAUGGAUACGAGGACAGCCUAUGCUCGUGUAUCUCUCAAUCUCAGGCAUCCUAAACUUGGCUGGUAAACUGGCCACUAGUGCUCCAUCAAAAUCCUCCCAAGUAAUAGCUCUAUCUGAAGUGCUCAUAUGUCUCAUCCUCUACUCAAGUCUAUCCAUACGAGCAUGUGGGUCCUUCUGAGAUCGGGGUAGGCAGUAUGAUAGGAGGUGGGGAAACCUCAGUCUGAUUAUGCAAAGUAAAUGGUAUAGGUUGCGAGGCUAACUAACUGGGUGGAGGGGGUAAUGGUACUAUAGGGUCGUACGGGGUACCCUCUUGAAUCCCAACCUAUUGGGUCUGCUGCCCAUCUAUCAUCUGACCAAGGUUAACUAUAGCCUCCUAGAUCGAAGCCAUGGUUGCAGCAAACUGGUCAACGGUAACUAUCUAUGAGUACAUAUCUCUUUGAUCUGAUCUCUAGUCUGAUUGGUCUGAUACUCUGGUCAAUCUACCUCCAACUCUAAUCGAUGAAAGCGAAUCCAACUUGAUUAUGGUAAACCCUCCUACAAAUAUGGAAACACUAGAUAAGGUGCAAUUUGAAGGUGACUCUGCAAGAAUGAACUGAAUAGUGCGCAGAAAUAUAGACCAAAUAUACUCAAUCUGAUAUCCAUUCCUGAUCACACCAAAAAGAGACUAUAGAGAGGUUAAUCGAACCCAAUUGUGACCUUGGCAUCUCUGAAGGUCCAUAGAUGCACCCACGUGUAGGAAUGAAAUCUUAAUUGGGUCUAAGCUAGCCUACAAGGUUGAGGUGGCUCUAUAAGAUAAAAUGGGUGGGUUAAAGGAUCCCUAACAUAAGCGAUCUGACAGUACGCAACCCUCUGCACGCCUCCAAGGAAACGGGGUGCUUCCAUGCAAGGUGGUCAUCACCUCUACACAUGCACUUCCUUGUUUUCCCAAGGGGUUUCUUAAUGGUGAAAGCUCUCUCAUAUCUCAACACUCAGGGUAUAAUCUAAAGUACGCGGUGAAGGAUGUGAGUGCAUCCGAAAAACCUAAGAUCUAAAGUGAGAUAGUAAACAAAGACAAGUAAUCAUACAAUCAUGUAGGAGCAAGAGUUGUCAUGAAACAAGCAGUCAUACCAAGAAAAUAGGCAUCAUACAAUCAAAGUCCUAUCUAUCAUAUGUGAAAAUGAAUCAUGCUAAAGUGAAUAAAGCAGUCAUGUGAUCAUGCAAGAUAAACAAGUAUAAAGAUAUGUUAAGAUAGCAAACCAAUCAAGCAAGCAAACUAAAUCACCUUGCAUAAAAAAAUGAGAUACACUCUAAUCGACCAAUUAAACGCCACAUUUUCCUCAACUAGUGUUCAAGCUUGAUCCUCAAAAUCCCUAGUGAAGUCACCAAUUUAUGGGCCCGCACGUGAAAAUUUUUCACGUGCGUCCCCACUCAAUGGCAAGACUUAUUUUUAUUGGUGAAAAAUUAGUUUUGGAAAAGUCGGAGUCAACACUUAUUUUAUUUUAUUUUGAAAAGGAAAAUAAAACAAGAAAGAAAACCCUAAAGAAACAACUCCAUAUUUUUUAGACAAGUGUGCCUUUGAAAAACCUGAGUCUAGGUCUGGGGAUCAUGUUACCUAUUAGGAAGGUACCUCUAAAAGGUACCACCCUUCUAAGCCCUACAAAGGUCUCUAUUGACUAAGUUAAGGGAAAUAAAGCAAUUAACUGGUUGAUUAUAGAUACUUAGGUAGGUUAGGUGAUUUAAAAAAAAUAGCAUGCCAAACAAGAAAAACGAAUCAUAAUCAUAAAGAAGAUUUAGGGUGUGUACCUUAACUGCUUCUCAAGUGCUAUCAUAAAACAUCAAAGUUAGUAUAGAAAUAUAGCACACAACAUGAGUUUUAUCCAAGAAAAUCAAGCAUACAUCUAAGCACCUAAGGAUCACAUCAAGCAUAAAUAAGGUUAACAACAACAUGCAUGUUCAUAGAAUUCCGAAAAAUAAGUGAUAAAGAGCAUACCUGGAUAGCAUGCAUAAUUUAUAAGAUUCCUAAAAAAAACUAGAGUGGUUAGGACAAGUACAUAUUAUAUAACAUCUUUAUUAUGUCUAAUAUACAAUACUAAAGCCAAAAUUGAGCUAAAAUUAAUCAAAUGACUCCAAAAAUAAUAACAAUUCCAAAUAAAGUAUAAAACCAUCAGCAUGCACUUAGAAAAGAAAGCAUCACAAAACAAUUUAUGAAGAAUAUCUUGGAGUGGAAUUUAACUACAAAAAAAAAAAAUUCAAGAAACAACUCCUAUACAUCUAGAACAAAAUACCAAAAACCAAGCACUCAUUUAAAUGGAAAAUUGCAGCAAAGACACCCAAAAGUUCUAGAAUGUCCAGAUUAGGUAAAAAAAUAGUGACAUGCAUAAACAAAUUUAUUAAAAAUAAUAAAAGAUCACAUAAAAUCAUAUAAAAUAAAAUAAAAUCACACGCAUCGUUCAAAAUGUCUAUAUCAUAGAAAAAAUAAAUCUAGGGUCAAGGAGUACUAAAAAUAUUUUUAAAACACUCCAACUAAUCUAAUCUCUAGAUUCCAUUAUGUACAGUACGUAUGAUUUUGAAAAAUCAUAUCUUCCUCAAAAAUGCAUAUUUUUUAAUAUUUUAUAUGUCUAAGAUCAAUUCAAGAAGUCUAGAAUUAAGAAAAAAUAUAGAAUCAAAUUUAAAAAGUCAUUUGUUAUUUUAUUUUAAAUUUAUAGGAAGAUUUCGAGUGUCUAGAAUUGGUUGAAAACAGAGCCCCCUUAAAGAAUCGUUUAUUCUUCUAUUCCAUAAUUGCUUUUUAACACAAACGAAAUUUUAAAUUUAAGUUCAAGAAAUGAGAAAAAUCAUACAAGUUUUGGAAAUUUUUUUAAAAUAUUCCAAAGUUGCUAAAACGAAUUUUAAAUCUAGAAAGCCAGCGGUUGAAUGAAAACUGGCAGCAUGGAAGGGUUUUGAAAAAUUUUCUUAUGCAGGGGUUCCAUCAAGUCCCAAAUUACUUUUGCAUGAGUUGGUUCAAUGAAUUCCAUUAUUUGGCAUUAUGAAGUUUGUUCAUGCUUGUUGAAAAUCAAAUAAAAACAAGAGAAUAGUUGAAAAUCAAAUAAAAUAGUGAGAAUGCAUGCCAUGAGGGAAAAUGACAGCAAAAGGUUUCUUGAAAUCUGAAUUUUUGAUGAAUCUAGAAACUCUUUAAGGAUGAAAUUUGAAGAAAACUAGAAUCGUUUAACAAAACAAAGAAAUAGGAGGAUGGUGUAACUGCCUUUGAGAAUGAGUGAAUGGUGCAUGUAGGUAAGGUCGUUUGUGGAGGCUGGCUGAUUCUAUAUUACGCAUGUUGCAUGCUGUAACAUGGCUUCAAAGAGGAUGCAACCCACCCUGUUUUCAAUCCUUGAUGCGGCUGUUCGUGGGGUCCAUUCAUAGAAGCAGUAGAGUUGUAAAUUCUUUUUGAGUUGUGUGCUGAAAUUGAAUUCCAAAUGCAUUUUGUCCCAUGUAGCAUUGUUGAUUGCAUGAAAGAUGAUAGCAUGUCUAUCCAUAUGCAAACUGUUAACCCUUUUAUGCAUAGACUUUCACAAAGUGCUCAGAGCAAUAAACUGCUAAUGCUAUGGGGUAUAGUCCCAUCAAUUUAAUUUCCUCAAAGGCAUCUGAAAGUGUUAUUGACCUGCAUAAAUGCACCAUUUUUUUUUCAUUUCGCGACAUGCAUGAACUCCACAUCAACGAGUUCACAAUUUUAUUUUUUUUUAUCAUCGACAAUCCACACAGAUAGCUUAGGCUUCUCAAACUCCUCAGUGUGGGCAUGUUAUGCACAAUGGAAUCUCUGGUUUUAGAUUGGAAUUGGGGUGUUGUUCCUGUUCUCUUUCCAAUAACAGUAUCACUUAGAGACCAUGGCUGUGAAGUUGAGGUUAGUGAUUGAGAUUGGAGAAUGAAGAAAGAUGGUCAUGCAUGGCAAUGAAAAAGUGAGAGUCUAGCACUCACGUGUCACCCAAUAAGAAUUCUAUGCUUAGAGAUCGGUACCUCGUGGAUGAACUUGGGGCUAAGACGCAAUAUACCUAGACCAUUCUGAAAAACAUCACAAAUAUACCCAACAUAUGGAUGUGAUUAGCCAUCAUCUCCAGGAUUUCCUAAGCUCGGGUUAUACGUUCUCUAGGAAGAUGCAUGUAAUGGGUAUGACGGACGAAAUAGAUAACCCCAAAUGUUGACCAGUCCAUUCAUCAAGAAAAACAUGUUCAACAAAUAACUCAACUACCAACCAAGUGUUUACAACAAAGGGUAAAGGCGAUGAAGAAUAGAGAUUGGGAGAUUUAAAAAAAAAAACAUCCACAUGAGGAUAGAAUGACACUCAAGCAUGAUAAGGUCAAUGAAACUGUAGCAGGAUAGCCUCCCAUAAAUGAGAAUGUGACCUAUAUCAAAACAGAUUACAUUAUCACAUAAUUACGAAAGUAAAUUCCCAAAAAGCAGUCUCAUGGAUAGCUUUCUCCUCAACUUCCUGAUGAAUUUACAUCUAAGCAAUUUACAGCUAUCCUUGGGUUCGGUUUAGCAUUAUCUGAAGAUCUUGGCACUUACCCGCUAGGUUCCUCAUCCAAGUUCCCAAAAUCAAAAUGUGGAAGUCAAAAUCAAGGGACCCAGACCACAAGAAAAAAUGUAUCAAAACAGAGAGAUGGUGAUGAUGCUAUUACCUUUUUUUUUUUUUAUCUCUAUCCAUUAUGUAAAAAUGGCCAAUCUCUUCUAACAAACAAAUGUGUUUUGGUAGGCUCCUUUCUUUGAUGUGAAGCAAAAACCCAGGGAUGGAGAGUAAAUAGAACAGGAAAAAAAAAACUCUAGAAAACAAGGAGAAGAUCAAGGUUGUAAUUAACAAAACAAACAAAAGAAGAAAAUUUUAAUAUCAAAUGCCAUUUCACGAGUAAUCCAUAUGCUUAAAGGGGUGGUAGAGGGAAAUAAAAGAAAAAAAAUCUAAACAAAAUAACAAAAGUAUGAUUUCUAAGGCGUAGUGCAAUUAAAAUGAAAUCAGAUCAUCCUCAUACUAAAUAUAACGAGCAAGAGAUGGAUAAUCAACAUUCAAAAUCACCAGUAACCUAACAAACGACAUCCAAACACAGUAAAGAAUGAAAGGGAAUGGUGUAGAAGGGAGAGAGUUUGAAAACCAUGCAACAAGUAAUCCAUACCCAAACCAUAACAAGAAUUUAAAAAAAAAAUGAUCUUUAGCAUUAAUACACAAAUCCGGAGGGUUGAAAAGAAAUGUAUAGGCAGCCAUGAGGAUCAUACCUAAAAGUCAUUUUCUGUUUCCCCAAAGACUAACAAACUCCUCUUCUCUUUGACCAAACCUGAUAACCCAGAUGAACUCCCUCUCUCUUUCCAAUGUGUGUUGAAAAAAAUCUUUUUUUUUUUUAAACCUCUUUUUCUAUCUCUUCGCCUCCUCCAAAACCCAUUUACAUGUUCUUUUUAUAACAAUUGGCAGUUGUUCUACGUCAGGAGUCUUCCUCUCUCCAAAUUCCCUGUCUCAUCUACCAGAAAAAUCUCUUUUAAAUUUCAAAAAACCAAUCCAUGCAUAUCACCUAAAGAGUCCUACCUUUUCCAAAAACUUCUCAAUUGGUAGAUUUUUCUAUAAAAACUUCAAAUUAUAAAAUUAAAUAAUUGAAUAAAUAAAUAAAUAGAAGAAUGAUAAAAUAAUAAUAAUAAAUGAACAAAUAACACGAUAAUAAACAAACAAAUAAAUAAUAAUAAAAUAACUAAAUAAAUAAAAGUGAUUGAUAACAAUAUAAAUAAAUAAAAAUAUAAUAAAUGAUUAAAUAAAGAUGAUUGAUAAUAAUAAUAAUAAAAAAUAUAAAUAAAUAAAUAAGUAAAUGAAAUAAAUGAGUCAUGCAACCAUACAAGUCACGCUAAGAAUGUCUAAUGGUCCAAGUGUGCCUAAGUGGGCCUAAGUGAACCUAUAUGGGCCUAAGGUAUCUAAAUGGGCCUAAGGUGGUGCCUAAUAGGCCGAGUAUACCUAUACGGGCCUAGGGUGAGACUGGGUGAGCCUAACUAAGUUUAACCUAAAGUGGACCUAAGUGAAGUCUAAUCUAAACUUGAAGGGCAACUAAGGUCAUAAUGUGGAGCCGAAUAAACCCCUCAACCAAAGUCUCCAAAGUGGCUCAGAAAAGAUAAACUAUAUGAGUAGUAAUGGGUAAAAAAAAAAACUACUGUGGAGCAUUGGAAGUGAACUUAAAGACAUGUGCUAAAAGAACAAAAUAGAGGGUUUGCAAAAAGACUUGGAAGGAAUAGUGACAAAAUAGUACAUAGUUCAUAGUUUAAAAGAUAUAUAAACUUUAGAAGACAUUUUCAUUUUGGGUGAAGACUUUGAAACCUAAAUGAAAACAGCUUUGUCAUGAAAGGUUGAAAGAAAAUUUUUUACAAAGUCAAGAAGAAAAAUUAGUGCAUGUUUGGUUGUUGUUUUUAAAAACUAUUCUGAAAAAUUUGUUUUUAAGAAUAAUUUUUGGGGUUUUCGGAAAAAAUAAAAAUGUUUGAUUGAGUUAAUAAAAAAAGUUUUUUAUACUAAGUAAAAAACAUGUUAGAAAGUUUUUUUUUCACUCCAUUUCCCCUCUCUUUCCUCUACAUUUUCCUCAUAUUCCCUUCAUCUAAACAUCGUUUUCUUUUUCUCAUCCCAUUUAAUUAAAUAUUUAUUUCCUUGUUUUCUUCUUUCUCCUCUCUCAUUCUAGUCCACAGUUACUACCGACACCCCCUACCAUCCAACAACGUCGUCAUCUCCGGAAACUACAACAUUUUCCUUCCUCUUCCAUACCCACAGCCCGUCACACCAUUUAUCCAUUUUUUUUCUCUACAUUUUCCUCAUUUUCUCCAUCCAAACAUCAUUUUCUUUUUCUCAUCCUAAUUUAAAUAAAUAUUUCUCUUUUUUUUUUCUUUUUUCUCCUCUCCCAUUCUAGUCCACGGUUAUCAUCUACACCCCCUACUAUCCAAAAUGCUAUCAUUGCUGCCAUUUUCGAAAACACAAAAAACAUGAAAAGAAAACACGAAGAGCAAGUGUUCUCUUAACAAUGAAAAAAACAACCAAAACACCUUUUUUUGUUUUCUAAAAAGAAACCUUUUGAGAACACGGAAAACACAAAAAACAAAAAUCAUCCAUUUUCCCAAACACGUUUUCACUAUUUUUGGUUUUCAAGAGCAAAAAACAGUUCUUGAAAACAGUAACCAAACAAGCUUAACAUCUAAUAACUCAACAAGCUAAAAAAAAAAUUGCCUCCAUUGUUUAUUCAUUAUUAAAAGGUCAAAUGAAUAUUGAAAUUCAUUAACAAAUUUUCAUCUUAGAUAUUUUGACUUGGCUAUGGUAGAUAAUCUUCAUGUGAUAUCCAAGUGUAACAUCAAACUAAGAAAUGCAAGAGAACAAUUUUAUCUAAUAUAAAAAAUAAAUUAAAAAAAAAAACAAAAGGAUGUACAAUAAGUUAUUAAAUCAAAAGUUAGUUGAAAACGAUAUUUGUACUAACAAAUUUAGUAUUGUCACAAACUAUUUUUUGUCUAACUCCAAAGAGUGGUCAUACUACCAAUAAUAAAAAAGAGAAAAAGAAUAGUUAACAUCAACUAGUAAAACAAAUAGAAAAAUCUUACAUAAAAUAAGGGAUUGAAGUUGAUCUUUUCUAUGAACUAUUGACAAUAGAUCUAGAGCAUGUUUAUUUAGAAAAAUUGAAAAUAAAUGUAAGGCUUUGACCAUUCCAUUGGAAAAUGUAAGUAGGAAAAUAUGUAAGCAAUUGUCAUGGUACAAGUGACAAGGCUACAUGAAUAUUUGCAAAAAAUAAUCUCCAAAUAUAAAUCAAUUAUGGAUAAACUCAAAAAAAAUAAACACAUGAAAGGAGUGUGGGUAUACCAAACUAGUCAAAGAUGGUUGUUAGUGUUAGCCCAAGGGUUCUCCUAACCAGGUUUUGAUGAUAACAAACCAUGGUUAAGUAACUAAUUGGUUUAAUGUUUAAGAAUCUCAGGUAUAAACUCGAAAAUUCAUCAAAUGACCAAAUGGAUACAAGAUCGAGACGCUUGGAAGACUUGAGAUCAUAGGAAACUAAUGUAAGAUGAAUGCAUGAGUGCACUUAGGAUUUUCAUAUGUUUUCAUGCAUCUUAGAAAACUCGGUUUAUUCCUUAAAACGUCGACUUCAUUAAAACCCGAGUCUUUAACUAAUUUACCUUAGGCAAAAUGUUUCAAAAUUGGCUUGAUAAUUUACCUAAAGACCUUGCCUAAGUGUUAGAAAAGAAAGGAAUAAAAAAAAAAUAGGUUUUUCGGGGCCAAAAAGGCUCAACCGGUCGAGGCUAAGGCCAACCGGUCAACCGGUUGAGGAACCGGUCUACCGGCUGAGGUCGUCCGGUCGAGGAAGGUUAAAAACCUUCUCUCUCUCCCAGUAGCCUUCUCUUCCCGGUCGAGGUGAUUCCUUUACCAGUCGAGGUCCGAUCGAGGCAACGGUAACCUGUCAUGCAUUAAAUGCUCCAACAGCUAGUGAACCGAUCGACCCUUUGCUCGUCCGGUCGAGGCUACUUUCUGCUGUUUUUGUCUCCCGAGCUUAGAAACUUAUAAAUAGAGAGCUCCACUUCAUUUAUGACUAAGAGAACUUUUACAAUCAAUUGUCUACCUACCUGUUUUUUAUCAAAAAGCUCUCAUUUCUUUCUUAGUGCAUUAAACCAUCACUUGCAUAUUCUUAGUGCACUCUUGUAAAUCAUCCUAGCUUUCUCUUGUACUUGAGCCAUCCUUAAGCUAGGUUGAGAGUUUCAUCUUUGUGUAAAUUGAGUGUGAAAGCCUUCAAGUGGUUCAAAUCUUGAAGAGAUUGUGUAAAAGCCCAUUGGAGCCGGAAUCCAAGUGUAAGAAGAUUGAAAGCUUGAUUGAAGCUUCAAGUUAGUGGAACCCUCACUCGGUUAGGAGAUUGAGGAGAGUGGACGUAGGCAAGGGAGUGUUGAACCACUAUAAACCCGAGUUUGAAUUCUCUAACUUUAUCUCUUUCCUUUAUUUAUUUUGUGCAUAUAUUAUUGUGUGGAAAAAGAUUUUGAAAAACCCAAUUCACCCCCCCCCCCUCCCUUUUGGGUAUUUUCCUUAAUUAUUCAUAGCCUUUGUUUUAUCAGUUAGAUAUGGUAGAGAGAUGAACUAUACCCAAAAAUGGUUGAUUGAUGGCAGAGUGAAGGUUUUAGAGUGAAUGUGGUGAUGACUAUGAGCUCCAAAAAUGGUUGAUUAAUGGUAGUGUGUGGGUUUGAGAAUGAGUAGAAGGGAGAUAAGUUACUUUUGGUGGAUUUGAGAAUGACAUAACAAAAGGGAGAUAUUAUGGAUUUGUAAGAUUUUGGGAUUUUUUUUUAGGAAGUGGAAAGGUUAGGGCUUCAAAAGAUGUAAAGAUUUUGAGAAUGAGAUGAAGAAGAUGAGAGGUUAAGUUUUCGUUAGAUUUUUGGGAGUGUUUUUUCUCUUUUCUUUAUUCACAUAUGGGAAACUUAACUGGUAAGGUAGAUGACAUUUUUAGAAUCCAAAUACAAAUAAGCUAAAAGUGCAUGAAGUUCCAAAUAUUUUACAAUUACAUUGUAAACAUAGAAAUACACAAAUAUGGAUUCCCAUUUUUUUUAAAUAUUUUCAUGUCAUCAUAUGGAAACAUACGUUUCCCUAUUAUUUUUAGCAAAGAUAGAUCCUCCUAUUGUGUGUUCAACUAACAUGUCUUAACUUUCAAAGAGUCUAUGUCAAGUUCCACUUAAGAAACUACUAUGACCAUAGUUUUCAUUAACACACCUCAUUAGGAUCACCCAAUGGGACACUCUGUCUCAAUCCCAUCAGAUAUCAUGGUGUAUCUAUUGAGAAUACCUAUUGCUAUUGGUUUUCAUCAACAAUAACCCGAUCCAUAGAAAAUAUAUGAUCAGCUUACAAUUUCACUUAUAGAUCAAAGUCACUAGUAACUUUAGCACAAGUUCAAUAUUCUUUCAAGGUUAAAAAACAACAUAAUAAAACAAUUUGGUGAGAUCAUGACAUGACUACUUGAUAGCCUUCAGUCAUGACUCACCGUAGGUCCUGUCCAAUGUGUAACCACAUACACCAAUGUACUCACCAUGGGAAAUUCAUCCCUCCAAUUAGGAGGUGGAACACUAUAUCCUCUAAUGAGUUGCCUAAACGCACGAAUCAGUUGUGAACAAGUCAUCGAUUUGUAAAAAAAACCCAUGAAUUUGAUCUUUCAUGCAAUUCCUAAAGUACCCAAAUCAUAUACAAUGUAAAAUAUGCAAAUAAAAAUGCUCAUAAAGUGUAAUGCAUGGAAAAAUGAUAGAUAAAAGUGAAAUUGUAAUACCCCACAUCAAAUAAGGGAAAAGGUUCUUAACCAAUAUAAGUAUAUACUCUUCUUAAUUUUAUAAACACGUUUUAAAGUUAUGAUAACCUAUUAGGCUUAAAACAUAAAAUAUCUAUACAAUUGGAAGCAAAUUGUUACAAAUGAUAUCUAACUUAAUCCUCAAUGCUAAUGUGGACCUAAGUUUUUUUGGUCUCGUAAGGGGUGUCUGUCUACUUGGCCUCACAUAAUCCUAUGGGACAUAAUGAGGAUGUUGUGUUUGCCAAGGGGGUGAUUCUAAUAUCCUACAUCGAAUAUGGUAAAAAGUUCAAAGAGUUAUACAUGUAUGAGUUCUUCUUAACUAUGUAGACACAUUUUAAAGUUAUAAGGAUCUAUUAGGCUUAGAGUGGGUAAAAAGUUCCUAGAGUUAUACAUGUAUGAGCUCUUAUUAACUAUGUAGACACAUUUUAAAGUUAUAAGGACCCAUUAAGCUUAGAGUGGACAAUAUCUACGUAGUUGAGAAUGGACUGUUACACCAGAUAUCCCCACUACAAUCAAGCUUUGAUACCUUUUAUAGGAAUCAAAUUAUGAUUGUUGAAGAAUAUUUCCAUGAGAUGGGAAUAGUGAUUAUGAUGAGCAAAACAACCAUAUUCACCUAUAGUGGUUCAAGAGUCUUCCACAUCAAUGAGAACCUAGUAAGAAAUGAUAACAAGAAUUGAAUAAUAUCUAAGUGAGAUAAAAUCAAUAUAAUAUGGAAAACCCUCCUAAAGAAAGUAGAAAAAAAAAUCAUAAAGAAGAUUUCUUCCAUUUUAAUAAAAAAAAAAUGGAAUAUAAAUCUUUACUAGUUUCCACACAAUGAAGACUGAUAGAAAUACAUCAAUACUUGAGAUGGGAAAUUCAUCAUCUCAAAAAUAUAAAAAAAAAAAAAAAAAAACGAGAAAAGCAUGGAGAGAUAAUACCAUAAGAGAUUUCACAAAAUAUUGAAAAAAAGAACCUCCAUAUGCAAAGUUGGAAGAAUUGGCCACAAAAGUUUUACAUUCAAACCUUGAUUUACAAGGCUCAUCAUGACCAUAAAUCUUUAUUGUGAUAAAAUAUUAAAGUCUAAAUAUGUGAUAACUUUGCCUAUGAAACACUAGAAAUUAGGAUUAUCAUGGUUGGUAGUAUCCGAGAUGUCGUCCUUUAAGAUUAGCAUUAAUGUGUUUAAAUAUUCAAGUUAAAAAAAAUAAUUAUUUUCUUAAAUUAAAGAAAACUCUAAUGUAAAAUAAAUAAAAGUAAAAAAGAUGAAUAAACAUUUUCUAAAAUAUAUAAUGAAAUAAACUAAAAAGAAAAAUAGAAAACCUUCAAAAAGUUUUACAAUCCAAUGUUUGAUCCUUAACGAGAGAAAUUAUUAUAAAAUCUAAGUCUAUAAUCAAAACCUAUCUAAGAUCAAAUUGAAUCUUAAUACUAAUUCUCAUAUAAAACAUUGUUUUUAACUUUAGAAAUUAGAUUUCUUAAACCUAUUAAUUAUAUUGGUUAAUUUAGUAUUCAAUUUUAAGCAUUCACAACAUGUGGGGACCCCCUCCACAUGUCCCAUUGUGGGAAACGCCCUCCACGUGUCCCUUUUUCGAUCUGGAUACCGUGACUGACUGUCGCCAGUGUGCAAUCCAUCUAUAUCAUUCCAUCCAGACUGCUACCAGUUCCAUCUAGCAUCCGACAUAAUGAAGCCCUUUUCCCACAGGACUAGGCAGCAUAAGGAGACCAAACUCCUAAAACAAUCAGGAUCGUCCGGUCAAGAUUCCCAAACCCACUAGCAUGCAUAAUCAUCCACGCCUGACAUGGGAAUGGCUAAUGGGAUCUCUUCUAACCCUCAAGUCCAUGUCAAUUAAUUGCUACACAUAACCCCAAACCAUCAACAAGUUGAUGGGAUAGGUGGCUAAACGAUCAAACAUCAUGGCACAUCAGUUAGCAGCACCUGCUAGCCGCCCAAAACUAUGAUGAUUGCCCUACCACCUGCAAGACAAUCAUUAUUAUAGAGAAGGUCAAAGUGCUUAGUCAAUACUACAGUGGCAUUCUUUUCAAACACUAUAAAAACCCUCCAAAAAUACAAACAAGGUACGCACGCGCACACAUAUUGGCAUAUUCACUCUCUCCCUUGAGGAGUUCAAACUAUCUCUGUCUAACUUAAGCUUCGGAGGAGCGUGCCCGGACCACCUGUUCGGACAUCCUUUGUACAGGUAGAAAGUUCAUCCAGUCUCAACACUGCUUGGCAGAAGCUCUGAGAGGCACAACGCACGGAGGAAGGUUGUCUAACCUCUAUUCACUUAGAUGGAUCUAACUCCAGUUGGCACGAAACCAACACAACCCAUAUCCAUCUUACAAAUUUGGUUGUUAGAUUCAAUAACAAAAUAUUAAAUCAAGUUAACUAGUGAUCAAAGUAUUCCUAAGAAUCACUAAUACUUCAAUAAACAUCCUUUGUACCUUAUCUAUAUGAAACUUGGAGAAAGAAUCUCUUCCUACAUAUUCAAAUAUAAAAAUACAAUCAAACCAUUCACACAUUACUGAACUAUAUCUUGAGGAUUUUUCACCUUCAUGUUAACAUCUUCGAAUCAUAUCAAAUUAGCCAAAAAUGAUGAAGGACUUUCCAAUAAAAUAGAAAAUAAGAGAAAAGUAAAACUUUAUUGAAGAAAGAAUUAAAAACAUGAGUUUCAUAAUCUAUCCUUAUGAACUCUACUUUAAAUCUUAAAAUUAAUUGAGUUUAUAUAGUAAAAGCAAAAUCCUAACACAUGGCACACUCUAAUUGGAUACCUUGAUCAAAAUUACAUCAUAAUUGUCUCAAAAGUCAUGAAAUUACAAGUUCCAAAUCAUCUAAAGGCAUUUCAAAUUGAAUAGCCAAUGUAGAAGAUCAUUUUGAAAUGGAAAAAAGCUUGAUCUCCACAUAAUUGCCCUUAAAUUUGAAAUUUUAAAGUGAAUUUGAAAUCAUCCCGAAUUGGUAAAUUUCAUAUGGAACUCAACCCCAAUGAAUUCAAAACAAGCAUGACUAUUUUGAAUUGAGCUUCUAUUUUUCUUUCCCCUAACUUGCUAAAUUCGAAAUGAGUAAGUCAUUUCGAAUUUAUGCUUUGAUGUGAGUAUUUCUACCUUCCAAACUCCAUUUUGCAUCUUUCUUCCCUUCCUUGGCUUGUCUUGGCCUUUAAUAUACCUCCAAACAUGAUUGAACAUCUCUCCAUGCCCUCCAUAGCAUGUUUUGCUCAUCUCUCUUGCUUGUUCCUUGUUCUAUGCCUUCACCUCUAUUCUUAUCAUCCUCAAUAAGCCUCAAACCUCUCUUUGAAACAUGAUUAAACCCUCAUCUACCUUAGUUGAUGAAAUUACCCUCAUUGAAUCGCUUUCUAACUCUUCUAUUUUGCAUUUUAGCUUAAAAUAAACGUUAGAUCCACAACUAGAAUACUGGUAUAAAUUGAAGCUAAGUUGGAUUAUUUGAGCUUUAAGCACCAUAUAAAUAUGCAUUUAUAUACCUUUAAAGUAUCUAUGUUUGGACUACAAUCAAAGCCCUAUAACAAUACCCAGAGAAACAACCAUUAUUUUCCUUAUUUUUCUCUCUUUCAUGGUUUACCAAUUUUAUUUUUUCAACGUCUCCAAAAGAAACCUCAAAUACUAUUUAUAUUUAGGCUUAGAAACGCCCACAAAGAACAAACCAACAUUUAGGCUUAAAGACUCUUGAUGGGUUAGUCCAAUAAAGAUCAUAUAAGUUAAUAGCCACAAAUAAUUGAUCUUCCAAUGCUUGCUUCUUGUUGUUUAAUAUAAUGAUUAAAUAAAUAUGGCAUCUUUUGCUCAUCCUAUACAAUGAUUAAACAAAGCAUCUUUGGCUCACCCAAAAAGAAUAUUUGUACAAUGAUCAAUAAGUUAAAUUAGGUUCUAAUAAAAAAAAUUAAACUCGAUUAAUUAAAUGAUAGAAAAUUAUGCUAACAAUUAACUAGCAUUUGAAUUUGAAUUAAUGGAUUUUCAUUCCAUUAAAAGAUACAAUAUGUAGUUGGCCCUUGAGUACUUUAAUCCUCACUCCCCACUCUGCACAUGGUGCACAUGCAUAAUUAGAGUCUUAAUUAAUUAAACUAACUAAUAAUCAAUAUAAUUAUUAAAAUAAUCCAUGAACACAAACCGAUUAGUUAAGUAUCGAGAUGUUCGGUAUGAUCUCAAUUACAUCACUUGUGAUUUCAUUUGCACCUAAUCAUAUGAAAAAUAAUUCCAAGUCCUCUUAUAUUCUAAUUUUAAUUUUUUUUAAUAAAUAUAUACACCAUCAUUAGUCAUAUGUUUGUAAUUAAUUAAAACUAAUGUUUUCAUAACAAAAGCAUAUACCAAGGGGACUCUUAUUAAAAAUGUUAUUUAAUUUAAAUACGUAAAAUAAAAGUAUGAUUUGAGUAUAAAAAUAUGAUCAAAUACAUGAUAAAUAUGUAAAAGAAAAGUUGAUAAAUGAUAUAAAAAAUACGACUAUCGUGAUGUAAAAAUUGUAAUUAAACAUGAUUAAAAAUGCAAAAAAGAUAAUUGUUAAGAUGUUUUAUAUAUUAAAACCCAUUAAUCCAAUAGGUAAACCUAAAAAUUGGUUGAAAAUCUUUAUAGAUUAUGAUGUAAAUUCUGAAUUUUGAAUUAAAAUGGUCUGUUAGACCAUAAAAAUAUACAUUUUAAACCUUAUAUUCAAUGUGACCUCUUUCCAAACACAUAAUUGUCAUAUCAUCCUCCCACAAAAAUGAAGUCAAAGUUGAUAAUCGAUUAAACCUUAUAUUCAAUGUGACCUCUUUCCAAUCACAUAAUUGUCAUAUCAUCCUCUCACAAAAAUGAAGUCAAAGUUGAUAAUCGAUGCUUCAUUUUUUAAUUAAAGCGUCAAUUGAUAAUUAAGGUUUUAAGUUAAAAAAUAAAAUCGCUAUUGACAAAUGAAACUUGAUUUUUUUAACUGAAAUUUCAAUUGGCAAUUGAGAUUUUAAUUUUAAUUUUUAAUUUUUUUUUUUUAAUGAUAUAACUCCUAGGUGGUAACAAAAUGAUCAUUUUGAAUAUAAAUUUUAAAAAAUUUCCCAAGGGCUAUUUUGGUCCAAAACUCACAAAUUCUCAUACUUGAAACUCAAAAACUACGUGAGCAAUGACACAAGCAAACUUCCUUUGGAACAACACAAAGUGGAACCUUUAAAUUAUUAGAGAAAGUCCUCCUUUAUUUUACCAAUGAUUUCCCACUAUAAUCUUAAUUAAUUACUUCAAAGGUAUGUUUUUCUUCCAAUGCGGUUUGCCACGUGGAUGCUUCACUCUAUUCCAAGUGUCAACCACUCCCGACGUGAGACAACCUCGAUCACAUGCUUCACGUGACUAUCUCAUUAUUCAGAUAAAAUCUGUUUUUUAAGGGUAUCAUUAUCUAUACAACACAAAGCCCAAUAAUGGCUGUCACCCAAUAACAUCUCGCCACGAUGGCAAAUUUUUUAUUUUUUGGUGUCAGCUUUUAGCAUCAAACGCAGCAGCUGAGACCUCCCAAACCUUAAUCUCGCCAUCUAGGCUUCCGCUACAAAUCGAUACGACGUCGUACGAGGUGCCACUGGAAACUGCCACCAACGACUUCACCGGCUUUACAUGUCCCUCCAACAUUAGUGUACAGUGAUAUCUUCCAUCCACCCCAGGGCGCCAAAUCCUGACCGUCCGAUCAGAGGACCCACUGAUUAUCAUGUUGUUGACGGUGAUUAAGCAUAGUACGGGUCCAGUGUGGCCCACCAGGGCUUGUGUCGCGGCCAUGUGAUUGGCGCUCUCUUCCCUCUCCCAGACCAAGAUCCAACUCUCACAACCGCCGGAGAACAGUGAGGAUCCAUCCCCGCUCAAUGCGAGCGCAUUCACCGUAGACUUGUGCUUCUCUAGGGUGGUUAUCAGCGUGUGGGUUCUCUCUUCUCCGGUUCUUUCCCAAACCCUGAUGCACCCGUCUGCGGAGGCAGUAUAGACGGUGCCAGAGGCGGAGACGGCGACGGCGUUGACAGCGUCGUCGUGGGCUUUGACAGACUCGACGCAGCGGAGGUCCGAUGUUCUCCAUAUCUUGAAGCUCUUGUCCCACGAAGCUGAGUACAUGAAACCCUCGGCCAUGGCCAGGCCCGAAACGGCGUCGUUGUGCUCGAUCCAGAGCCGCUUCUUGUGCCGCCGGACCCGGACGUAGUUCUUCGGGAGGAUGGAGCGGCGCAAGAAGUCUUUAACGGUGGGGAGAGUAGAGAUAAGGCGGUGGCGUUUGGAGGCCGUGAUCCGCCACACUCUAAUCUUGGAAUCCUGAUGAGCGGUGAAGAUCUUUCCUUCGUGGAAUGCGAUGGACUUGACUGAACCAGAAGUGGGCUUGUUGUUUCUGAAAGUGUCGAUGUGGGUGUGGGUAGUUAAAUCGUAGACGUGGAUAUCUUCGCCGGAGGCAGCAUAGAGGAACUUUUCAUGGACGGCGAGGCAGCUGAUAUGAGGGGUCAAGGUUCUGAGGGAGGAGACGCAGAGGUGAGAAACGACUACGUUUCGGGAUUCGGGAGAGCGACUUUGUAGACUAGCAGUGAAGCUUGUAGUUUCCUGUGAGAGUGUGGAGGUAGAAGGGGUUUCAGAGUUAAUACUUGUGUCGGAAGUGGGGAGUAUCUGCUCCGGUAAAGUAGAAUCGGCAGUUGCGAGCAAUGAUGGGUCCUCCAUAGCUCUGGCAGAUAGAGAGAACCAGGGGCUGUUUGCAUGAGAAAUAUGAAUGGAAUUGUAGAUAAUUUAUAAUACAAGGCAGCUUCUAUGGAAGUUUGAAAUUGGCCUGUUUGGUGAUAGUUCUAAAUUUCUUGAAAGCCCUUGUUUGGUUACACACUUAACUCUCCAAAUGUAAAUGGGCCAAAAUAUUUUCUUAUUUUUUAUUUUAAUACAAAAAAUCAAAUCUAAGUAAAUUAGUUUUUAUAUAAAAUUUUAAAACAAGUCAAAUAAAAUUGAAAUGUUCUAAUUUUUUUUUACUUUCAUUAUUUCUCGUUUUCCCUUAAUUUUUUUUGCUAACCAAACAUAAUAAACGGUGAUGAAGUUAACAAAUGGCUCGAGGGGGGUAACAUGUAACUUUUUAUUUUACGGGUAAAAGUUAAAUAAAAAGCAUUUAUACUUGCAUGAUAACAAAGAAAUUUCUCUUCUUUUUACAAGAAAAGAUUUAAAUCCCCUUACAUGUACCGAAUUCGUCUCAUUGAUGGUUACAAAUUAUUCAUAAAAUCACUAUUAAACAUAAAAAAUUAUGAAUAUUUCCUAAAAUUACUAUUAAACACAUUUUAAAAAUAAUUCUAUAUUUAAUUUUAAUCAUAAAAUAAAUUUUAAACAUGUCACUAUCUCGACCCACCAACCAUUUCAUAAUGGGCCAUUAUUGAACUUGAAUAAGCCCAAUUCAUUUCUCUCCCUACACCUACCUCCCCAUAAAAUAUAAAAUUAAAAAAAAAAAGCAACCUAGUUUAGAAAAGGAGACACAAAUACCAUGGUAUGAUAUAUUUGGGGUAAUAAACAAGAUAAAGUGAAUAAAUAGUAAAUACAAUGGAUUUAAUUAAUAAGGAAGGGUCUAAAGGUGUUCCCUCACAUGUGAUUAGGUUCCAUUAAUGUGGAGACGUGUCACCCUAUGGGUAACCCCUUUUGUAGAGAAACUUUGGUUAGAGACAUUUGUGGAAAAGGUAGGCCAUUUUUUAAGUGUAGAAGGCACAUGUUUUUUGACUAGUAAUUUCAGAUUCACUUGGCCCCUUAUGAUUACAAAUCAUGUGAUGUGCCACUAAUAUAAUAAGCUGAUUUACAUUAAAUUAAAAUAAAUUAAAGUUGCCUUUGCUUCCACUUCUUGGGCAAUAAUUUUGGUUGGGGUUUUCAAUCUUGUUUUAGGUCAGCAAAUUCACUACAAAAUGCUAAACUUUUCUUCUUCUGCCCUUUGUUAACUAAUGCUGAAAAUUGAUUUCCUUGGGGUUUUAAUAUUUGGAUCAUAAAAAGUUUUUUUUUUUAAAAAAAAAAAAUCAUGUGAUAUAAAAAAAAACAUAAAAAAAUAUGGACAUAUUUGGUAAUUACUUUUAAAAAUAAUUUUGAAAACUAGUUUUUUAGAACAAUUUUCUAAUUUUUGUAAAACAAAAGUCUAUUUUAAAACCUAAAAUAUUUUAAAUAUUUUUAAAUAUGUUUUUAAAAAUAAUUUUUAUAUAUAGUAUUUUAUUUUAAUCAUUUUACAUAUUUAUAUAACUAUUUCUUAAAACAACCCUUACAAAAACAAGUAAAAACAUCAUAAAAUAAUUAAAAGAUGUUUUCUAUUCUUAAGAAUAUAAAAUUAAAAACAGUUUUUUUUUUUUUUUUUUUUGUUAAACAAGUUUUUUGUAUUUUUUGGUCUAGAGAAUAGAAAACUAUUUUAAAAAAUAGUUUCAAAACAAACACCAAAGGUUUUCAAAUAAUAUCUUUUACUUAUUUUUAUUUUAAAAGAUUAUUUUUAAAAAUAAUUAUAUAAAGACAAAGAUUAAUUAAAAAUAAAACAUUACAAAUAAAAUUUAUUUUUAAAAAUAUAGAAAUUGGUUUACAACAUUUUAAGUUUCCACGCUUUUGCUUUAUAAAACAUGAGAAAUUAAUUUUAAACCUUCGUAUAAAAAACUAAAAUAAAUGACAUGAGUUUGAAAUGAUAUAUAAAAAUAAUUUAUUAUCUUUGAAUAUAUUUUUUUAUUUUCCUUCAAAUCUUCUUGCAAUUUUUUUCUUAGAUUUUUUAGGAAUCAAGUGUAGCAUUGAUAAAUUUUUUAAAAUUUAUUUAUUUUUCUUCAUUUUUCGUGUAAAGAAACAAGAAAUCAAAGACAUAAAUUUUUAAAUGUCUCUCAAUUGGAUCCUGGUGCACUAAAAUGCCAAUGUCCUUGGCUAAUGUAAUGAACCAAGGUCUCUAAGGACACUUGAGAUUUGUUGUUUGAUUUGCUAUCCACAUGAUUUCCCUUUAUGAAAAAAAAUUCAUUAUAUUUGAUUUUCCAUGGUACAAAAAUGAUCAUUUAAAUGCUUUUGAAAGUUUUAUUUAAUUUUAAUUUCACUAAAAACAGUUUUAAGCUUGGAUUUUUAUUUUUUUAUUUUUUGUUUGGAUUUUAAAAUAUAUGAAGAAAAAUUGUUAGGAAAAAUGAACCCGAAAAGUGGGACUAAGCAAGAAUCCACCAAGCCUAGAACAAACAAAUAGAAAAAAUAAAAUUUUGAAAGAGGACACUCAUCGAAUUAGGUUGAGACAUGACAAUCACUAUCUUUAAAGUAGAUUCACCUUUCUUAGGCAUUAAACUAGGUGCAAAAGGGAACCAACGAGUUACCUAUACGACUCAAUAGCUAGAACUUUGCCUUAGGUACACACCUUUGGGUAGGUAUAGUACAACUCGAAAUAAGAAUUCCUUCAAAUGAUACGAAGGAUGAAGGGAAAACAAGAUGCAAGAACAAACUUAUUGAAGUAGGAUCGAAAGGUUGCGCGUAAAAUAUGAUGUAUAAGAGCACUACUCCACAUGAGCAAUUGCCAUCAAUGAAAAGAACACUUUUAUAUUAAAAUUAAAUAAUUUAAAAAUAUAUAAAUUUUCAAUUAGAUUAAAUUAGAUUUUAUUUUUUUCAUAAUAAACAUAAAUUUGAUAAAAUCAUUUUAUUAUUUUUUUCUUUCCUAAAAUAUAUAAGUUUCAUAAUAGUUUUAUAAGGGCUUUAUAUAUAUAUUUUUUAUUCAUGAAAAACUUUUUAUUUCCACAAUUACUAAUAAAAGAAUUAAAAUGAUUAAUUAAAAUUAUUUUUAUAACAAGUAAGGUAAGAUAUUUGGAAAUUUGGGACAAACUAGCCUUUUAUGCAUGCAUAAUGUAGUGAUUGGACUGCUUUUGAAACUUAUAUGCAAAGUAGCCCCUUUGGAUCUACAACGGCCAAAGAAUUUUUUUUUUUAUUCUUUUAAUUUACUUUACUUUCCCCCACCUUUUCCCUCGUUUCUCUAUCUCAUUCCCUUUUCAAUAAAAAAAAAUGAAGUCUUAAUUAUCAAUUGCGAUUUCAGUUAAAAAAAAAUGAAGUUUCAGUUGAUAAUUGAAGAUUUAACUUAAAUUUCGAAGAAAAAAAUAUUUUUUAUAACAUGAGUUCUAUGCGAUAAUAAAUGAACUAAUUUAAAAAUAAGUUUUACAAAAAAGUUAAACCUAAUUUUUUUUUUUUCUAUAAAAGAGUUAUUUUGCUCCAUAACUCACAUAUUUGAGUACAAAGAAAAUAUACAUCUUAUUACUUUUUUCACUUCAACAUAAAAAAGUAAAAGCAUAAAAUUUAGAUAAAUUACAUUAGAAAGUAUUAAGAUAUUUUUAAACAUUAAUUUAACCAUCAAAAAUUUUAUUUGAAGUUUAAAAAAAACUCUUGUAAACAAGUUUAAGUACUCCCAAUUAGCACUUCACAUUAUCAUUUACAUUGUUCUUCCAAAAUUUUGUGAGAAAGGAGAAGUUGCACACAUUCUUAGUGUAAAUAAUAAUAAAAAUAAAUAAAUAAAUAAAAAAAAUUAAAAACAGAAAGAGAGAAGGCCCACCAUUGGUCCAUGGGCUUUCUACUUUAGAGGCUCCCCCACUUGUCUCAUCAUUAUACCAGGGCACAUGUGCCAUGUAAGCCCAAAACACUCAAAUCUCACUUUUAUAUCAUGGGUUUGGACUUUGGAGCUUUGAGAGAUUUUGAAAAAGUAUAUAUAUAUAUAUAUAUAUAUAUAUAUUGAAAUAUGGUUAUUAAAAAAUUAUUUUUAAGCCUAAGAUAAUUUUUAAGAUGUCAAUAUCUAAUAAAAAUUAUUUUUUUAAGAGAGAACCUCUCUUUGACUACUAAAUUUUGAAGUUCUCUUUUUAAUUCAAAAUUCAAAAUUUAUAUUGAAUUUAUUUGAUCAUAAUUACAUUUAGGGAGUAAUAUUACUGAGGAUCGUAUGAUAGCAUCUAAAAAAUAUUUUUCCGAUCAGUAUUAAAAAUAAACCAUCAAUUAGAUGGUGUUAAAAGCCUUGUAUCUCAAUCACAUUUAUUCAUACAUUGAUCGACUUUGACGGAGGUUCAAUAAUAUUGAAUAAGUUUGAUAAUGUUAAAUUAAUAUCUUAGUAUUUUGUUUUUAUUGAAGUUACCUUUUUAGGAAACAUCUUUUGAUUACUAUUCCAUAGAUUGUAAUAAAUAUAGAAUUAUUUUUUUAAUAAUUCUAAAUUCUAAAUUAUUUUUAAAAGUUCAUAAAUAUUUUUUUAUAAAAAAAAAUCAUAAAAAUGUGAACUCCUUUAGACUCUUUUGGCUACCCCAACCAAAAAUUUAUUAGUUAUUUUAAAUGCCAACUAUGCCAUUAAGGCCACUAAACUUUUAUCCCAUCCUAAAUAAAAAUAAAUGAGCUAACAAGAAAAAUUAAAGUGUGUUUGAUUUAAAAAAAAAAUUGUUUUCAAAACAUGAAUAAUCUUUAAAAAAAAUGUCUUAAUUAAUUUUAAGAAUAAAAUUCUAUUACAAAAUUUAAAUAUAAAAAACAAAUUUUCUUGUAAUUAAAUAAAUUAAAUUUCUAAUAAUUUUUUUUUUAAUUUGAAAAAGACAAGAAAAGAAAAAGAAGUUAGAUCUUUAAGGGAAAAAUAAAAUAAAAUAAAAAUUUAAAUGGGCAAAAAGGGAGAUGAUGGAGUAUUAACACAAAACCAUAGUAUAAAGGGGGGGAUGGUCCCAAAAAUAUUAGGCAUCAUUGUCUUAAUAAAUAUAAGGCAUGCCGUAAACUUUGAGGAACCCAUUUCUCUAUUCACUCACUAUUAAUUAAAGAGUAAAGCAUGGAAGGAGACAUGAGGGUAUUGUCACUUUCUCGAGAAAAUUGUCAUCAUCUACACCAACAUCCUCUUCUCAUUCUCAUGGAUUCUAGCCUUAGGGCUUUUCACCAAUCACAUCUGGUUCACAGCUCUAGAUCUCUCCGCUCAACUCAAUUCCCCCCUUCCUCAAUUCCAUUAAAAAUAUUAUUAUUAUUAUUAUUUUAAAUUAUAAGCUUCAUUUGAAAGUAUUUUUUGAUUUUAAAAUCAUAAAAUAAUAGUAUUUUUAAAAAAUAAUUUUAGAAUAUAUUUAAUAAUUGUUUUUUAUUCUUCAGAAUAAAAAAAUUAUAUUUUAUAAUCAAAAACCAUUUUCAAAAAAAUAAUUAUAUAAAUAUGUAAAAUAAUUAAAAAUAAAAUAUUAAAUAUAAAAAUUAUUUUUAAAAUAUUAAAAAUAGAUAAAAAAAAUAUUUUAAGUUUCGUUGUAUCAUAAAAUAAUUUUGAAAAACAGUUUUAAAAAACUGCAGCGAAAUAGGCGCUGAUUUUAGAUUUUUGUCUUUUUGUGUUAUGGGGACACGUGUAGCAAAAAUGGGACAACCUGGAGACCCAGCUUCAAAGAAUUAAGAAACUGUAGGAGACAUGUGGGCAUGGCAUGGAAAUAUGGUACAGGAACAAUUUAAACCUCAUUUUUAGCAAAAAUUAAUUAUAAAAAAAAUUAUAUGUAGUGGUUUGACUCAUUCAUAUUAGGGUCAGAAAAUUUAUAUAAGACAGAGUCGGUGAUUAAUGGGAAGAAGAGAAGGAUUUAAUAUGGGGUUGGUAGUCCAAAUUAUGCUUCUCAACUAUAAUGCCGUGGGUUUGGAAAGAAAUUAAUACAUGUGGACUGAAAAGUAAAGAAGAAACUCCAAAAAAAUAGGGAACCAACACGUGGCGGUAGGACAGGGAAAAUUCAUGAAUUGCGGGUGAGAAUAUCACCCUCAUUUACUCCACAAAAAAUACGAAAUAAAAAAAAUGGAAAAUAAUUGCUUUUCCCCCUCUCUCUCUGGAUACAGUAGAGAGGGAGUGUGUGUCCAAAGAAGAGCACAAAAAGAAGAAAGGAAUGUCCAUUUCUAGAGAGAGAGAGAGCAGACAACUCUGAUUUCAAGAGAGAGAAGGUAGAGGAAGAGAGGGAGAGAGGGGGAGAGGGAGAGAGAGAGAUGGGGGGUGUGACUUCAUCCAUGGCUGCCAAGUUGGCUUUCUUCCCACCAAACCCUCCAUCCUACAAGCUAAUUACGGACGAUGCCACCGGCCUCUUGCUCUUCAACCACUUCCCCCACCGCGAAAACGUCGACAUUUUGAAGCUUCCGACGCGCCGCGGCACCGAGAUCGUGGCCCUCUAUGUGCGGUACCCCAUGGCCACCUCUACGCUGCUCUAUUCCCAUGGGAAUGCGGCUGAUAUCGGCCAGAUGUACGAGCUCUUCAUCGAGUUGAGCAUUCACUUGCGGGUUAAUCUCAUGGGGUACUUCGUUUUUGCCUUGUCCUUUUCUGGAAUUUGAAAAUUUUUGAUGGGUUCUUUUUGGAUUUGGAGAUUUUGUCUGUUGCUUGGGUGGAUUGACUAGAUUUUGGAGUGAGUUGAUGUGUUUCUGUUGGUUGUUUGGUUAGAAAUUGAUUUUUUUGCUUACUCUUUACUGUGAUUUUGAGCUUCUUUCUUUCUUUCCUUUUUUGGUGGAGUAGAGACAGUGAUGGGCUGGAAUUUAUGGUUAGUUUCCUCAGUUCUGUUUGUUCAGGUGGAAAUUUUUUCUGGCUAAUGUGUUUUGGUUAUAACUGAGGCUAAUUGAAGAUACAUGAUGGAUUUCAUUAUGCUUCAUAGUUUAAAUACCCUGGAGAUAAGUAUGGAAUUUUAAAAGCCAUUUUAUUUUUUUGUGGAAAAUAUUCCCUUCAUGGAAACAAAGAUUUUUCCUGUUGUGGAUUCCUUUUUCUCCCCUUUUUUUUUAAUCACAAGAAAGGGAUAUUGGGUUGGGUGUUUAAGUUUUCGCUGAAAAAUGGGAUUUUGGUCGGUUCUGGUGUUAGUGUUGGUUACAAAGGAAUGAUUUUCAUCAAAAGAAGUUGACCUAAAAUUUAUUAUAUCAAGUUUGAGAUCUGCAAAGUCUAAAAUUGUUGACAUUAGCUUAAAUCAAUGAAUUAAAUUAAAGUGGUGUUUGGUUUCUGCAUGUUGAUCUGUUUCUUUAGCUUCUCAAGUGGGUGAUGUAUGGCUAAGGUACCAGGCCGUAUUGGGAAAUCUGUGGCUUGAUUGUGGAGGACUGAGUUUCUUAUGAAUUUUGCUCGAUCCACUUUGUAUAUUUGGUUUAAUCAAUUGAUCCUCACCGAAGGAUAACAAAAUAUCAAAUGGCAAUGGUUGAAGAUAACUCUGGCAUCUCAGAGAUUAAUGUGAUUUUACUUUUGUUUAUUGUCAUUUUUCUGCUGUGGGAUUUCUUAGAAAAGUAAGUUUUUACUAUUGUUGAUAAUAAUCUGGUACAUGUUGUAGAAGAAUAAGUAUUGCAUCCAUUGUGUGUGAAAUGUGCUAAAUUUAUUGUCAGAUUAGUUAUGUUUCAAAAGAUUGAUGUAAAUGGUCUUUAUCUUCUAUCAAGGUGAAGGCAAAAAAGAACCAGGGUAGAGGAUGUGUGAAAAUGCAUGAUGGGUAAUUAUUUAAGAGGCUUUAGAUGCACCAAAAUUGUGAAAAAGAAUUUGUGUAGGCCCCUAAGCAGUUGUGAGCUAUAAUGAUAUGCAGUUCUACAAUUUUGUAUCUGCAUUGAAUGGGAUUUUUAUAGUAGAUUGGAUGUAGAAGAGCUCCUUCACAAAUUUGCAUGGCCCCUGGCAUUUUACUUUUAUAUUUUGAAACAUGAUCUCGACUUUUAAGAACAAAAUAGAUCUUGGUAGGAUUACUGAUCAUAUAGACCUCCAGUUUAAAUGAAAUCAUGCUUAAUAACUCAAAAUGACAGAGGCGUUGGUUGAUUAUAUAGUACCAAGUAAGACAGGAAAGUUUGGAUGCAUGCUGACUCUAGAGACUUGUAAUAGAGAGGCAAUGAAAUUUUUUUUCCUCUGCACAUGUAAAUAUGAAUUAAUUCUUCAUUUAUGCUCAUUAACAAGGAUCCAUAUUGUAUGAAUUAAAUGUAUGGGAAGUACACCUAGAGUGUAUAACAAGUGGAACCAGCAGGGUGUUCCCCCAUUUUUUUUUUUUAAAUUUUAAUUUUUGGAAAUGCCAACUGAUUUAUUAUUGAAGAUGGAUUUUCAGCAGGAGGGGAAAACACUCCUACAGGUAACAGCUGGUAAAGCUGUCAAUAUAUUUAGCAGAGAUUUUAUUUUUCCCUAAAAGUUUCUUUCUUUAUUUGAAUCGAGCCCUUUAAUUUCAAAGAAUUAAUUAAAUGGUCCCUCCCAAGUAAGAUGGAUUUAUUGUGGCGCCCUUAAUACUGUCUAUGUUUCCAUUGUAGCUUUAGGUUGAAAUGGAAAAAUAAUAACAGAAUUCUUGGAUCUCCCACUGAAAGUUAAAACCAAGAGAAGUAGAGAAUCAAAAGGCAAGAUGUGCUAUGUUUUGGAUUUAUAAUAUGCUAGCUCAAAUCAUGAAAAAAUUAUUUAAUUUUAGAAUUUGUGUUUGGAGUAGAAAAACAAAUUGUCAUAGAUGCUGAUUACUUUUGCUAGUAAUUAUAAGUCUUUUCUAAUCUUUUUAUAGGAAAUAUAUUACAGACUUCUCGUUUAUUUUUUCGUACAUUGUUUAAAGAAUACUAGUGUUUCCUAUUUUUACUUCUAGUGGAAUGUGAAUAAGAGUAUUGAUUUGUUUUUAGUUAUUUUUAUCGUACUUUUGUUUCAAAUUAACUGUGUUUAAAUAUGUUGUUUAAAAACUCAUGGCACUUUAACUUAUAAAUUCUGCAUUAAUGUUCUCCAUGCUCCCUCCCUAUUCCCAUUCCCUACAGAAGGAUAUAUUGUUUAUGAAGUAAAGCUAUUUUUUUCCCUUAUGAGAAACAAAUUGUGUAGAAGUGUAACUUCAUCCUUACAUGUGGAGGGGAAAAAAAUCCUUCUAAUGCUAGGGAUUGCAACAUCAGUUUUUAAAGUAAGUUCACUGGGGUCACACUAUGUCAUUCCUUGGGAAUUGCAACAUCUGCCGAUUUAUAACUGGUUGCCUUACAUUAAAACCAUGUUUUUGCAUGUUGCCUUUUUACAUAUGAAAUUCUGGAGGUUGUAUGAUGGAACUGGUUGGUUAAAUGAUUUGGGAUGUAAAAUUUUCUGAAUGCAUUUUUUAAUUAUGCAGGUAUGAUUAUUCUGGCUAUGGGCAGUCUUCAGGAAAGGUAAAGCUGGUUUUUGAAUUAAAUCUAUGGUGAUUUCCUUCCCAUUACACAAAAGCAUUUAAUGAUGUUGGUACCCAAAAAACUCUUUCUAAAGUGUGAUGUAUACUUGUUUGCAGCCAAGUGAGCACAAUACUUAUGCAGAUAUUGAAGCUGCAUAUAAAUGUCUUGAAGAAAGCUUUGGUGCGAAGCAGGAAGACAUCAUCCUUUAUGGUCAGUCUGUUGGAAGUGGGCCUACUUUGGAUCUUGCAGCUCGUUUGCCUCGAUUAAGAGCUGUUGUUUUGCAUAGUCCAAUACUCUCAGGCUUACGAGUCAUGUAUCCUGUGAAACGUACAUAUUGGUUUGAUAUCUACAAGGUCAAAUACUUGUUUUCAAAUCUAUUUGCUGCUUAUUACUCAUCAUAUCUAAAUAGACUUUCCAUCAUGUUCUUCUCAUCUGACCAUAAUUUUGCAUUGAUAUUGUGCAGAAUAUUGACAAAAUCCCAUUGGUGCAGUGCCCUGUACUAGUGAUUCAUGUAAGUAUCAAGAUUCUGAUAAUUUCAUUUUGGUAACUGCACAAAGUAAUUGAAGCUUUCUCACAAGUUUCAAGAUAAAUGUACGAUGCUAUGAUUGCCUGAAUUGAUUUCAUGCAUGGCUUAAUUUAAUGCUUUAUCAUGCGAUGAUAAUCUAUGCAAACUAUUGGAGGCAGUUGAUCAACAUGAGAAAUGAAAUUUCUGAUUCAGCUGUCACCAUAUAUAAAGGUACAUUUCAUCCUUCAGAAUAAAUUCAUAAAAAAAAAUGGUCUCCUUGCCAAAUUCCUUUUGCUUCUCUCUCUCUCUCGGGAAGGGGAAUCCAUCCCAGCAGUGAGGCAAUUACUCCAACUGUUAGCAAAGCUAACCUGGGAUGAUAUAGGCCUGCCCUCUACCCUACAUUAGAGAGGCUCGAAUUUGGGGUGUCUAGUUCAAGGGCUUCAUUACCAAAAUUCAUAUGAUAAAGAGAAAAAAAAAAAAAAAAAAAACCUGAGAUGGGGGUUUAAAUCCCUCUUAAUGAUCAUAUAUCUGUGAUGAAAUGGACUUAAAAAGAACAGGGAUAGUAGUUAGUGAAAAUUUGACAAAAUAUUCUAGAAAUCUACCAAAACUAAGUCUAAAUCACAUGAAUGGACUGAAUAGAGAGAAUUUGCAUGAAAAUAAAGGGAAGAGUUACCUAUUGAAUGUAAGCAAACUUAAAAUGUUUUUUUAUUUUUUUUCCUGACUUAAUACUAGAAGCCUGCUGGAAGGAAGUUCCUUAGAAAGUUAAAUCAGUCUUGAUAGUAAUAAACAAGAUGAAAGGCGAGCAGGCUGCAACUGGCUUGCAUUUCAGCAGUAGUGUCACAGUCCACGUCAGUAGGAAAUGCUGGUCCUUUUAACAUGACCAAAAACUUAACUGAUAAAAUAUGAUGGUGCAAACUGUUUAUUUCAUGUUACACCAUAUUUCCAAACUUCCUGUUGCUGAUGUUACACAUUGGAUGAGGUCUAUCAGUUCUAGCUGAUGUAGGAUUCAACAUUUUCAACUACCUCUUUGUUUUAUUUUUGCAUUGGUCUUUUGGCUAAGGGUUUAAUGGAUUACAGAUGUCGGUUUUCUUGUCCCACGAUUGAUAAUUCUCUUGUUUUGCAUCAUGACCAUUAACAAUAAUUUUGUUGUUUGUUUUUGUUAUGGCCAUAGAUGUAGCCUGGUAUACAUAUUUGAUAUUCAAAAUAUUAACCCUAAAAAUAUCCAUUUUGCAAGUUAACAUGUCCACCAUUUUUAAUCCAUUUUAUUAAUAACUAGUUUCUUUUUUUCAGUGCAUUCAACAAUGUUGGCUUUGUUGUUCUUAUUUAAACCCCAUUAUAUACUGAGUAGAACUGAUUUAUCAUUAGGCAAUGGAAUGGCAUGGGAAACCUACAACCCUCUUGCUUUCAGAGGUGGUGUGUUAGAGAAGGUCCUACAUGGGUUUAGAAACUCCUAGUCCCUCUUCUUUAGUAUAUUUCUAUUUCAUUUGAUUAGAACCUCCUGAAACAUGUACUAUUUGUUUUCAUAUUGCCAUGGAAAGUUGAAAAACCAAAAUCUAUUUUCUAAAAGAACCUCUGAACUACUACAUGUUUAAAGGAUAUCAUGUCUCUGUUUGACAUUUUGUCAUCUAGACUAGACUGAGUCAUUGCAUUCUCUUGGAUCUUUAUUGAGUAUUAACUUUUUCAUUUUGCAUAUUGUUGUGCAGGGCACAGCUGAUGAAGUUGUUGACUGCUCUCAUGGCAAGCAGCUUUGGGAACUCUGCAAAGAGAAGUAUGAACCCUUAUGGUUAAAAGGGGGGAAUCAUUGUGAUCUGGAGCUGUAUCCAGAAUACAUUAAACAUCUCAAGAAGUUCAUAUCCACAGUGGAAAAAUCACCUUCCCGGAGGAGCAGUGCAAGGAGAAGUGUAGACCGGCCAGAAUAUUCCAGGAAGAGUACUGAUUGUUAUGAGGCUCCAAGGAAGAGCACAGAUCAGGCUCCAAGGAAGAGCACGGAUCAGGCUCCAAGGAAGAGCACUGAUAGGAGAGACAAACCAAGGCGGAGCACUGACAGGCCUGAAAAACUGAAACUCUAUGACUACAAGUCUAAUGAUGUUGACAAGCUUGAGAAGUUAAGAACCUCUCUUGAUCAGGUAGAGAGAUCUCGGAGAAGCGUGGAAUACAAUGAUAAGUCUCGGAGAAGCAUCAACCAACAGUUGGAAAGAGCACGGAAGAGCGUGGAUUGGUUGGACAGAAUACGUGCCGGAUAAAGAGCAUUGAGUUUAUUCUGUGGGAGGGGAAAUUAAAAAAAGAAAAAACAGAAUGAAGAAAGAAGAAAUUACAUGGCUUUUUUUUUUUUGUUUGUUUGUUUAACUUAUGGUUUCAGGUUUGUGUGUAUUUUUGCUCUGGCUGGUUCCAGAAUGACUGUCAUGGAAUGCAGAGUUUGAUAUAAACGGAUUCAUUAUCCAUAUGAUUGUAGUUCAAUGGAAGUACCCUAACCUCUGUCUUUCAUUGUAACCCUUUUAGAAGUAGUGUCAUUCUUCGGGUUCAGGGAUGUUUUUGUAUUUGAAGUGUUUAAUUUUUUCCCAUUUAUCCAAAGACACCAUGUUUGCUUCUCAUUUGCAGCUGUCCAUAUUUGGUGAAUCAGCAUGUACUAUAAUGGUCAUAGAAGCAUGUGGCACAAUCACUUAUUUGGCCACUGAAAAAUCUUCACCCAUGUCUAGAGUGGUUCCAUUUUGGGAUUUUUUUCUUAUGGGACACAGCCUCUGCUACAUUUCCCCCAAUGGUUCUUAUCUCACGACCAAACUACCUGGAAAUCCAAAACUUCUGCAACCUGAGCAUCACACUAAACUUUGGCAGGAGAUCUUUCAAUAUAAGAAAACUGUUACAUCCAUCAAAACCCAAGAAGAUUGAAGCAGGGGAGGAUAUCAGGUAACGAUAAAAAAUGGGUUGUGUCUCGAAAGCUGAGUUUGAGUCAUUUUGCAUUGGUAAAUUAUUCUCGGAAUUUCUGUUCAUCUUGCAUUUCAGUUCCAGCCUUUAAUUGGGUUUCCUCUCCGGAAUUUUGCUGAAGAUGAUCUGUAAGACCUGAGAUGCAGGGUACUGCUGGGAGCAUAGAAGUUGACCUCCAAACUAGCUCAUGUUCAAUGGAGAAGCAAGUUGGAAAGCUUGGUCAACAAGGUGUUGGAUGUUUGCGAUGUGUGCCAUCAUUAUUAAAACCAAUACUAGGCGAGUGCAUAGCUGCCUUUACUUGCAGCUCAUAUGUAUUAUAGUUUAAAAUCGUCUGUUUGCUUGGGGUCCAAGCCCACCAAUUCUAUAUCUUCUCUGAAACUUCUGCUUUACCCAUCAGGGUUGGAGCUCUUUCCCUUCCUCUGUUCUGCGUUUACUCAAAAGGGUUUGUUGCAUUUUCACCUUUGCGAGAGUAUCAAUACUAAUGCAGUUUUCGCAUUGAGAUGAUGGCAUUUUGAUGUUUCAACCAUUCUACAUUUUGCAGCUCUAGUCUUAAUUAUAUCUUAAAAAGUUGGUCAUCAAUCUCAACAAGCUCAAGGACAACGAGUCGGAGAAAUGACUGACAACAGCAACAUGGAAGGAAUUCAAGAUGACGUCAAGGAUCCAUAUUCUCCACCAAGAAAAAGGAUAAAGACCGAUGAUGAAGCCAGUGCAAGCCAAGAAAAUGCUGUGAACUUCUCUGGAUCCUUAGUUCCCACUGCACUCAAAUACAAGAUCCAUGCCCAUGAAGGUGGCUGCAGCUCCAUUUUAUUCCCAUUUAAUUCUCAAAAUUUGAUCAGUGGGGGAAAGGACAACACGAUAAAGAUAUGGGACACAAGCACUGGGGCACUUACCAGCCUUCUUCAAGGCUUCCAAGGCUCAGUUUAUGAUCUUGCCAUCAGCUCUGACAACAGCUUCCUUGCUGCAGCUCUCACAUCCCGAAAAUUGUGUGUAUGGGAAUUGAAUACUGGUCAAAUUCGCCAGACUCUCACAGGCCACAGCCAAAAGGUUUGUGCUGUGGAUGUGGGCAAGGUCCUUAGCCGCUAUAUAGUUAGUGCUGGGAGUGAUCAAAUGAUAAAAGUAUGGGACUUGCAGCAAGACUAUCCUGUCUGUUCUCGAUAUAUCUCCAGUGCUUGCAAUGCUAUAAGCUUUUCCUCGGAUGAAACCACAAUUUGUUCAGGCCAUGCCAAUGGAAAGGUCAUAUUCAGCAAAGUCAAUAGAUUUUGGAUGAAUCAUAGCAGUGAAGUUGAGGCUCAUACACAGUCUGUGACUUCAAUCUGCCCACUUCAAAAUGGGAGUCUCAUACUGAGCAGUGGAAGGGAUAAUUGGCACAAUUUGAUUGAUACCCGGACAAUGCAAAUCUGCAGUAAAUUCAGAACCAGGUGCAGCAGAGUGGCUUCUAAUUGGAGCCGGGUGUGUGUCAGUUCUGAUGACAAUUAUGCAGUUGUGGGCUCAGCUGAUGGAUCAGUCUAUGUGUGGUCUAUGCAGAUGGGAAGAAUGGUGAAUGCUCUGAAGGGGCAUACUGCUCCUGUUCUCGCUUGUUCAUGGAGCGGUAUGGGGAUGCCACUGGCCUCUACUGAUAGUGAUGGAACUAUUUGUAUUUGGUCUUGAGAUGAGAUUUUGGAAAGCAUUCAGAACAAAAAGACUGAAAAAAAAAAAAAAAAAACAAAGAAUUGAAUUAAUGGUUAUUACUUUUAUGCUUUUAGCCCGGAUAAAUUAAGAUCAGACUGCAAUUCCUUCAAAAUUCUUUCUUCUGAAUUCCAGCAAAAUGUCAUCCCAGAACUGCCACUUAUCAUGAGUAGUGCCAUUUAGCCAUGAGAGCAUGGGGACAUGAGGAAUGUUCUUCAUGCCCAUGAUAGCAUUUUGUGUAUAUUUCAAUUUUCCUCUGAUAAUGGUUGAUUCUGAUAUCUCACAGCUGCACUACCUGGAACUUCAAAGCUCAAAGCAGUGACCAUUCCCAUGGACGCUUCCCCUCAACUUCAGCUGCCUUAGCAUAUCAGCAUGAUCUUUUCACAAAUCAAAUGAUGUAUUUGACAUCAUCCUUGGUGUAAGUCAUUUUGCAUCUCUAAAUCACUCCUGUUUUCCUGCAUUUGAAUUCCAGAUUGUCAAAUGGAUUUAUUAACAGUGGGUUAACAGAAAGAACUUUUCUUCUCUCUGAAUGAUGCUCAAGAUGAUCUUUGGUGGUCAAAUUUAGAGGGUACAUGCCCUAUUUGGACCCAUGAUGCAGGGUACUCCAGAAAGCAUAAGUGGGUGCCAGAAGCUGACCUCCAAACUGGCCCCACAUUCAUUGAAGAAGCAACUUGGGAAGCUUGGUCAACAACGUGUUGCGGGUGUACACAAUAAUUAUUCAAACCAAUGGUGGAAGAGUGGAUAGCUGGCUUAUUUGCUUGGGGACCAAGUUUACCAUUUCCUCUUCUUCUUCAAUAUCCUUUGAUUUGAUUCUUAGACCGAAAGGCAAGUGGCAACAGCAGCAUGGAAGGAAUUCAAGAUGAAACCAAGGAUCCAUCUUCUCCACUGAGAAAAAAAAAAAAAAAACCUACUCUUCCCUUUGGGCUGGGUGAAAAGACUACUUGUUCAAUUUGAUAUUUUGGAGAUAUGAUACCUCCUCAAAUACCAUAGAAUCCUAGGUUGUCAAAUAAAUAAAUAAAUAAAUAAAAAACCAAUUAGGACUCAAUAGCAAAAUUCAAAACGUGAAUUGACUUUAAGAUAACAAAAAUAGGCUUUAUUUUUUUUAUGGUCUUUAAUUUAAAACUCACUCAAAAAGCCAAAAUUAAAAAUAUCAAGUAAGAAAAAUUAAGAUAACAUAUAAUUUCAUAUGUAAACGAUCGAAUCCUUAGAUGUCUUAUGAGGUGUUAAAAAAAUGGUUAAAAUAAUUGAAUAAGUGGAUUACUAUGACUAUAACCCUUGACAAAUUCAUUAAAGGCGAAAUUGAUUUAUUUGAUGUUAUGGAUUUUUGGUUAUGGAGGGACCAUUUCAUUUUUGUAGGUGGUCCUAUCUAUUGCUCUUUCCUUGUGCUUAUAUCACUUUAAGAGGUUGAUUUACAUGUAUAACCCUUGUAACUUUAUGAUUGUCUAUGAAUUUACUAGGUCCUAGUUGGAAGGUUGCAAUUUUUUAAUUUUCUCGGUUUUUUAACUAGGAAAUUUUAGUUGUUGGUGUUAAAUAGAUGGUUUGUAGACUUUUGUUACUCUUUAUGUUAUUUUCAAAUUAUUAAAUAUCAUGUUGUGUUAAUUUAAACUUGUUCAAUUUGUUUCAUUAGGACCUUGUAAUGCAAUCACACUCUUUGUUUCAAUUGCUAUUUUUGUUUAGGUAUUUUAAUUUAUCUAUUAGGUCAAUUUGGUUAAUUCUAAGGAUUUCAUAAUUGGACAUUGAACCCAUUUUAUAUUAUGGGAGUUGUCGAUGUAUUAGGCGUUACUUUGCCUGGCAAUAUUCAUGGUGAUACCACAAAAAAUAUCUUAUUUUAAGAUGAUGAUGACAUAGACAUUUUAAGCUUUUAAUCCAACUUAAGGUAAAGAAGUUUAUUCAAUGGUCAUUACUAUCCGUUUUUUAUCCCUAAUCUUUGAGGUUACUUUUUCUAAUAAGUGUUGAUUACAUUUCUUUAUGUUAUUUGUAACAUUAACAAGUUUAUGAGUGAGUGUUCUUGAGUAGUCAGCCCAUCACACUUUGUUUCUAGGAAAUAUAUGCUAGGAAGGAUCUUAAAUUUGAGACUUUAUGCACUAAAAAUAAAUCUUAAAUGUGUUAGAAGUUAUUAAUAUAUUUAGUUACUAUAUUAGAAUUAUAUAUUUAGUUACUAUAUAUUUAUUUAGUUACUAUAUUAGAAUCAUUUUCUUUCUUUUUAGAAGUAAGGGUAAAUUAGUCUUUAUUUUUUUUAUUAAGUUUAUUUAAAUUCUAAUGAUGUUGUACAUAUUUUCAAGAGAAUUGAUAAUAAGAAAUCCUAGAUUUCCUUUUCUUUCUUUUUCUCUCUUCGAAUUUAUUUUUGGAUUUUAAUAUGGUAUCAAUGUAAAAUUGAUUUUUAAUGAGACUUUUGAUUUGUGAUAUCAUGGAAGAGAGUUUAAUUUCAUACACUGAUUUUCAUAUGUGUUUGAUUUGGAAUCCUUUUUUCGUCGUAUUUGAUCGUAGGAUAUUGUAAUGGGUGGUUGCAUUGUUCUUCUCCUGUUUGAACCUAGUAUUUGAUUUCAUAUUCAUUUCCUUCUAUUUAUAUUUGCUUUCUUUUGUUUGGUGGUUAUUCAUCAUGACCCAAAUGAUUCCGUUCAAACUAUUAGUGUGAGAUUGGAUGAAAAAAAAAUUAUUCGUGUUGGGGUUAUGUGAUAAAAUUUUUUUUAAGGGGCAAAAAGAUGUGAGGUUAUAUUAUUGGCACUCUACGCAAACCUAUGAAUGAAAAUGAUGAAAAAUAUGAAGAACAAUUAGAUAUUUGCGAAGUAAGCAAUUUAAAAAUUAUUAUUGGGAUUGACAACUCUGUUGAUAAUUAGAUGGACAUACAAUUGGCCAAGUAUGAAACAACCAAAUGAGAUUUGUAAACAUUUGAAAAGAUUGUAUGAAACUACCAAGGAGAUAUGGGAAUAUUUGGAAAGAUUGUAUACGCAAUUGAAUUCUUUAUUUAUUUGUUAGAUAUUAAUCUAAAUUCUUUGUCUCUAUUUGUUGAAUAUGAAUCUAAAUUUUAUCUCUCUCUUUGUUGGAUAUGAAUCCAAAUUUUGUUUUUCUUAUUUUGUCAUGCCCCAAAACCCACUCGUAUGAUGACCAUUUCACACCUCAAGCCCGAAUGCUCAAAGUGGAACAAUAUAAACAUUCAUAUUGUAACUGAAAAUUACCAAUUACCAAAUUCCUGUUCAGAAUAGUAAAAUAAAUGCAUUCUAAAAUAUUCAGAUAUCGUUUUUAAAAACUAACACAUCAAUUAAAGUGUUAUUGUCCAAAUAACUCCAAACUAAAAUAAUUCAAAUGGGAAUUAAAUUUUAAUAUCUAAACAAUGUCCAAAAUAAAGUUUGAACCAAAAUUCUAACAAAGAAAAAUUCCCUAGUUUAGCCAUCACUCCUUGUCCGAACUGAAAGUACUUGAAAAAGUAUCAAUGAAGGGUAUGAACUUAAAGCCCAAUAAGAAACAUCAAUAUAGUUUCAUGAAUCAAACAUUUUCAAUAAAACUUUCUUAUAUCCAUUUCAAAACAAUUUCAUAUUAAAACCAAAUAAAAUACAUUAAAAAUAUCUUUACUCUAGUUAUUGAAUAACAAAUGGUGUCCAAUUAGGUGAGACUUCACAAAUAAGUGACUAGUUUCAAAUUUGUUCAAUUUAAGGUGAACAAAACCAAAUGUCAACAAUUAUAAUCUAUUGACUAGGGUCAUAAAAUCAACUAUUAUAUCUCAUUGACUAGGGUCAUAUAAUAUCAACUAUUAUAACCCGUUGAUUAGAAUUGAAAAUGUUAACAAUUAUAACCCGUUGACUAGAAUCAUAGAAACUAGAGUCAAAUACUUUAUUUUAUUAAUUCAAACUUAUAAAACAAAAUAUCAUAUCUACAUAAUUUUCAUUUUUCAUAAACAAAGAAAAUGAUCAAACAUUUUUUCCAUGAAAAAACAUAUAUUUGAUUUAUGCAUAGAAAUAAAAAUAAUAUUUUUAGACAUUUCAAAAUAUAAUAUAAAAAGAAAAUUAUUUAUUUUUACAAAAUCUACACUAAUUUCCCUUUCAUUAGAUAAGCACUCAAAAACAUUAGAAAAUUAAUCCCAAAGAAUCUACUCCUCUUCUAACAUAACAUUAAAAGAAAAAAAAAUCAUCUAUUACUAUUAACUAUUUAUCUAAAAUUAUAUAUUUGAAAAUCCUAAUAAUUUCCUAUGUUAUGUCACUUGUAUUAUUUUUAACUUAAUCAAUAACAAUUUCAUUUGUGAGUUUCUAAAUUCUUAUAAAGUUGGUUUCUUUCCAAAAUUUAUUUCCAAGAUUCUAUUAAUUUAUUAUUAUUAUUUUCUUUUCUCAAACUCUUAACCUCCAUACUCACAAAUUUGAUGUAUUUUUCAUAUCCGAAACUAUAUUAUAUAUAUAUAUAUAUAUAUAUAUAUAUAGAUCUAUUCAUUUGAGUAAUCAAAAUUUGUCAAUCUCCAUUAAUAAAUCAAAUUAUGUUAAUAAAUUUUUAAUCUUUUUAACCUAGAAAUUAAUUAAUUGAACCCUAAUAAAAAAUAAAGAUCCUGCAACGAAUUUUUUUAAGUAUUCAAUACUAUUUAACGAAUAAAAAAAAUGUAAUUUAAGAGUUAAAAUCUUACCUAGAAAACUGAUCUUACCUAGAAAACUGAUCUUUAACCUUAAAUCUCAAAUUCUUCAGUCCUACCUUGCCCUACACUCUUUGAUCUUUCUGAUAUUUGUGUAAGAGGGUUUUCUAAAUAAAUAAAAAAUAGAAAAAAUCUAAUUUAUACCUAAGGCUUCUAAAAGAGAAAAGACUUUUAUAUCCUUAUUAAUUUAAUUUAAUUAAUUAAUUAAUUAAUUUUAAUUUAUGAUUUUACCCUUGGUUUUGGGGUAUUACAUAUUCUUCUAUGCUGAUGGAUAUGAAUGUAAUCCAAAUUCUGUUUGUCUUUCCUUCUUCUAUGAUUUUGUGUCUUCUUUUGUCUCUCUUCCUUAAUCUUUUCUUGAUAGUUUUAUGUCGAUUUCUAUCUCUAUUUCCUUUAUGGUUUUAAUUUUGUGUGUGUGUGUUUUUUUUUUUUUUUUUUUACUAUUUCUUCUUCUUCUUUUCUCAUUCUUUGAUAGUUUUAGUUUUAUGUCUUCUAUUACUUCUUCUCUUGGAGCAUAUACCUUUCUAUUCUAACUAUUUUUUCUUCCUCGAGCAUAAACUUUUUCUAUUCUUGUUGAGUCUCAUAAUGUCUUUAAAUCUGAACUUAUUCGUAUUGAUCAUUUCUUAAAUGAUACAAAUAGUUUUGAUGCAAAUAUUGAUACUUUGGUUUUUGAUUGUCAUGCUCCUUCCUUUCCUUCUAUAGCUACUCAAACACCUUCUAAGAUUGUGGAUUCUCCUCUCCCAUGUUCUUCUCAAUGUCUUUCAAGUUAUGAUUGAGGAACUUUAUGCUUUGCAUUAGAUUAAUACUUGACAUUUGGUACUUCAAUUAAAUAGUACAAAACUUAACUGGUUACUAAAAGAAUUUCUCAACAAUAUAAUUGCAAAAUUGUUUACCAAGUCACACCCACUUCCACAAUUUCGGUUUUUGGUUGACAAACUAUCGAUGUUUCUUACAAUCGCAUUAUGAGUUUUGUGAGAAAAUGUUAGACGUUAUUAAUAUAUUUAGUUACUAUAUUAAUAUUAUAUAUUAAGUUACUAUAGCCCUGACCUGUAAAUGGACCUUUAUGAGCCUCUAAAAUAUCUUUUAGCCCAUGACCAAUGCCCUAAGGCACGUAAGUUCAAAGCCAGACUGACUACUCCAAGAGCACUCAUCCAUAAACUGUUAAUGGUAUGGACGAAUCUGUUCCUUCAUCCAAAUGUGUAAAAGAUUCUAGCCGCACUUAAAAGCUGAAUACCGAAAAAUACAAUAUUUUUGUUACUUGACCAACCAUCAGGAGAAGCAAAUACAACGGGGUACAUUAAUCAGUAAGAUUGAUGAAGUAGCAAUUAAUGCAAAAACAGCCAAUUAGUUUAUUUACUUACUAUAUCAAAAUUAUUUUAUUUCUUUUUUAGAAUCUUUUGGGGAUUUCAACAAAAUGAUCAUCUUUGUCCUUGGAUGAUAGCUCAAGAUCAACAUCAUAAAAACUUUAUAUUCCCUUCGAAGGUUCUACCCUAAUUUAUAAUUUUAUUUAUUUAUUCUCAAAUUUAAUAACAAAAAUUUUAAAAAAUAAAGGUAUAAUUUCAACCUUUCUAAACAAAGAGUUUAAAAUGGGAAAUCGACAUCUGCUUAAAUUUUAUUGGAUCUAAAGCUUGGAAAGAAAAAAAGAAAAAAAGAAAAAAAGAAAAAAAGAAAAACCCUAAAAGCACCCUUACAUAUAUGAAUUGUCAAAUCAAUGAGAAUUGUUUGAUUGAACGGAUUGAAUUCGUUUAGUUAAGUUUGUUUGUUGUAACACAUGCCUCUUUUAAAGAUUCAUCAAGUGGAAUUCUGUUUUAUUUCCAAAUUUUAAAUAAAAUUGAAAAUUAGUAAGCAGUCCAUGAACUCAAAACAUUUUCCUCCUGUGUAGCAUAUUCCUUUCGCAGCGGAUGCAUCAAAUCGACGUGUCUUAGUAUCUGUGGGCAGUUUUAAAUAUUUUGUUGACAGCCCUGUGACGUGAUCAUUUUUGUUUAUAAAAUAAAUCUAUUAUUAUUAAUAAUUAUGAUUAUAAUAUUAUUAAUUUUCCGGACUUCUUUAAAAGCCCUCUCCGCACCCUCGAAUCUGCUUGUGAACGAAACUAUUCCUUUCUCAACACAAUCUAUUUCGAUCGAAAUAUGUAAGUACAACUAUUUCAGAUUUGGUAUCUCUUGUUUGGUUGCCGAGAAAACAAAGGAAAAGAAAAGGAAUGGAAAAUAGAGGAAAAGAGAAGGAAUUGUUGGAUUCAUAUGUUUCUUUUGUGUACGGAUUGAAAAAUCUUAAGUGAUUUGGGUGAAGUAUUUGUACUUGUGUUCGUUUUACCGGGAUGUGAUCCAAAAUUUUUAUUUUUAUUUAUUUUUCUUUUUUCCGGUGGUUUCUCGGCCACCAAACUGAGCAUUAGAUAUACGAUGGAGUCGUUGUUUGCUUGAUGAUGUUGAAUUCUUCAGGUCACAGGAUGAGGUGGCGGUUGAUGCUAUUAAACACGCUCUAAAGGCUCUGCGGAAGCGGCAUUUGCUAGAGGAAGGCGCUCAUGCUCCGGCUAUCGUAGCUCUUUCCAAGCCUUUUAUUUAUCAGGUUCUCUGUGUGUGUGCAUAUUUACUAUAGUGAUUAAUCAACUGGUUAUUUUCCUCUAUUGUCAGUGCUACUAAGUUGAAAUUGAACAUUGUAUUUGUAGUGCAAUCUAGGGUAGUCAGAUUGUAUCACUGUAUGGAUUGAGUUGUGAACAGUAGAAAAUUAAAGGAAGGGGCAAUCCUUAUGCACACAUGAACUAUAGAAAAUUAUGCUCAAGUAAAAUAAAACCUUAUCCCAAUUACUCAGGUUAGGGAUGCAAAUCCUUAAUUUUCAACUUAUGUAACUCCAUAACAUUAUAUACUACAUGUCCCACUUGUAGAAAUUCUCUUAAUUUGAGAGGUAUUUAUUAUCACCUUUUUCUGUUAGAAAAAAAAAAUGUCAUUCAUCUUUCUUAAAUGUAUCAAUUGCAAACCAUUUAAAAAGUCGUGGACAUACAUUCAUCCAUCUCCCAAACUUGACACCGGUAAAACUGUUAAUAGGAUGUCCUUAAGCUUUGAAGAAGGCAGCUGUAUGAUACGGAAGGUUGUACUCCUUCCAAAUUGUUUUACAUCCUGUGGAUAAGAUCUAUGCUCCAAACUGGCACAUUUCAGAAUUUUUAAGUGCCCAUGAUGGGUGUCACAAGGUGGGUAUGGAUUAUACAGUUAGCUGGUAGCUGGCAGUUGCACUAUUAAGCACAUCACUGAUUACAUAGAAGUUCUCCCCCCCCAAAAAAAUUGUCUCAAUUCUUAUGCAGCUAUUAUGCAGAUGGCAAUAUUACAUAGACCUUCAUCCACGGUGUUAAUAAGUUGAUGGUAUUGUAGCACAUGGCCUAAUAAUUUGCCAACUCAGAAUUACAAUUGGCCAUUACCAAACAAAAUGCAACAAUGGAUAAGUUACAUGGGUUAAGGUAGAAAGAUUAUGUAUCGUAAAAAUAAACCUAAACCUUAGUACAUGUAACAAGGGAAUUUGAGAUGGGCCCACUUGGUUCUGUACAUGACAUGUCCAGAUGGUAGCCUCCUUGCCUAAGGCACCUAAGGAAGUUACUUUAUCCAGGGCAUAUGUGAUGGCUUUUCCCAUUUAGAGUUUCCUACAUGCCCCGACUUACCUGUGUGCGUUACAUGUGCUACCUAACUAAAACUGCACUAUAUGCAGACUUAUCAAGAGUGCUUUAUAGAUGAAAUAUAUCAAGGCCCAAUGAUGGCAUUUUCCUGUGGACACUCCUGUAGCACAUCAACUAGAUGUCAUUAUCAUUGGAAGUUAGAACAUAUUUGGAAUUUCAAUCAAAUGACUAUCAGAACCAUGAUUUUGGGUGUAUGCCUCAAUGUUAGAGAGCAAAUUGCCUUUAGCGAUGUGCUUAUUAAAUUGUGGCACAAUCUUAGGAGUUGUAAGGCAUAUCUGCAAUCUACAUGCAUGCAUAAGUCCAUGUAACAUACCAUAGUAUGUCACCCAGAGCAUCAUAACCCAGAGUACCCCAAUAUGCCUCUCUGAAUACUUGGAAGACUAUGUUAAUUCUCAGAUCUAGUAAACAUACCAAGCCUAUCCGGUGACAUAAUUGUUGCUUGAACUAGUUGACCAUCUUUUUCCUACCUCAGGGAUUAUUUUCUCUAUUUGAUCUGAUUGUCUGGAUUUGGUGCAGUGUAUCUUUUUUCCAUCUGAUAAAGUUGUGGCACAAAAUUUCUACAAUGUGUUUAUUUGGCAUGGUUUCUCUUGAUGGAUUGUUCUGAUGCUGCUGAAUUUUAACAAUAUUUCUUAGUUUUGGAUUCUUGGUUUUAAUUCCUUUUGACUUUUUCUUGAAUUACUUAUAAUUAGUCUGAUUGAGAUUGGCUGGUUGAUGUCCUUGAAGGGAUCUGAAUGGAAAGAUAAAGCAGAAAAUCUUGAAGUGGAACUACAGCAAUGUUACAGAGCUCAAGCUAGAUUAUCAGAACAGCUUGUGGUGGAAGUGGCUGAAUGCAGAGCUUCAAAAGCCUUGGUUCAAGAGAAAGAAGCAAUAAUCAAUGAUAUACAAAAUGAGCUUACUAAAACAAGGUUAUCUUUUAUUCUUAUGCUUUAGUCAUGUAGAAGGUGUCUUUGAAAUUUCAAGUAGUAUGAAUCGCCUAACUCAAUUAAAUGCUCCAGGGAUGAAUGCUUGCAACUAAAAGUUAUUGUAGAAGAAAAGACUAAAGCUUUAGAAUUAGUUAUGAGUGAGAAUCAGGAGCUUAAAGCACAGCUACAAGAGAUGACUGUGAAAGCUAAGAAUAUAGAGGCUGAAAAUAAGAUGUUGAUUGAUCGCUGGAUGUUGCAAAAGAUGCAGGAGGCUGAACACCUGAAUGAGGUAUUUUAUGUUAUUGUUAUGGUUGGGAUCAAACACAGAAUUAGGUCUAGAUGAUACUAGUACAAAUUGGUAUCACUAGGGAGUGACCCAGAGAAAUGGCAUGAUGAGGGAAGAAAAACUUUGUUACCAUUCUGUGCUUGAUUUUACUGAUGAUUGGUUGGCUAUUAUUAUAAUUACUGGGCAAUACAUCAUUGUUGUCAGAUGUAUUUUGAAUGGGGAUUUUUACUCUGCUUUCAGAUUUGUAUUGAUUAGAUGAUACUCUCCUGAUUUUGUUCACUUUUUAAUCAUCUGAAAGAGAAAAACCUCCUUCCCUUACCUUUUAACUUUUGGACUGAAUUUUUUAUCUGAAAAUUGAAAAGAAAAGUCUUCUUUCACCAAUUUUUCACUGUCCAACUGAUAGGAUAUCAAUUCACGUGGUUUAUAUGAUUUAGACCUGGUUUGAUGCAGCUUUUUGCUGGAAGCACUACUUGAUGAAACUGCUUCAUAGUCAUACUAAAACAUUUUAAUCCAACAUAUAACAACUGAUAAGAUAUCUAUUUACCUGGUUUAUAUGAUUUAGGCCUGGUUUGAUGUGGCUUUUUUCUGGAAACACUUCCUGGAUGAAAAAUGACAUUGGCUGCUUCAUAGUUGUACUAAAACGUUUUAAUCCAACUAUCUAACAAUAACAUUGGCUGUAUACAAUAUUGGUGGAGAUCCAAUGGAUUUUUUUUUUUUUUCAAAGAAAAGAAAAUGAAAAAGGAAAAAAAAAGAAAAGAAAUAACAAAUACUCCAUAAACCAUUCUUAUACAUUUUAGUGUAGGGAGAGAUUUAAGUGUUUAAUCCUCUUUCAGUUGAUUAAGUUUGCUUACUUUUGAAAGAAUGUUCAUAUAUUUUUAGUCUCUUUCCAUCUGAUGGGUUGUCUAACUAUAUUUUAAUUAUUUUAGGCUAAUGCUCUUUAUCAAGAUUUUAAAGAUCAGCUCAAGGCCAGUGGUAUAGCACAACUUGCUCGGCAGCAAGUGGAUGGUGUGGUACGCCAAAGUGAAGAAGGUGCCCAGUACUAUGGGGAAUCAACUGUUCCGAAUACAUGUAAGCACAGGAUCCAUGCCCAUGAGGGUGGCUGUGCAGCUAUAUUGUUUGAGUACAACUCUGGCAAUUUGAUUAGUGGGGGACAUGACCGGGCAGUCAAAAUGUGGGAUACAAACACUGGAUCAUUAACUCGCACUCUUUAUGGUUGUGUGGGCUCUGUUCUUGAUCUUGCUAUUACACAUGAUAACAGAUCCAUAAUUGCUGCAAGCAGCUCAAAUAACUUGUGUGUAUGGGAUGUGAACUCAGGUCGGAUCCGUCAUACUCUUACAGGCCACAUGGAUAAAGUUUGUUCUGUAGAUGUGAGCAAAAUUUCAAGUCGUCAUGUUGCAAGUGCAGCUUAUGACCGUACUAUAAAAGUUUGGGAUUUGCAGAAAGGUUAUUGUAUCAACACUAUCAUUUUCCACAGCAACUGCAAUGCACUUUGCUUCAGCACAGAUGGACAAACCAUUUGUUCAGGUCAUGUUGAUGGAAAUCUUCGAUUGUGGGAUAUUCAGACAGGAAAACUACUUAGUGAAGUUGCUGCUCAUUCACUUGCUAUUACAUCUAUCUCUUUGUCUCGAAAUGGGAGUGUGGUAUUAACAAGUGGGAGAGACAACUUGCAUAAUUUAUUUGAUAUGCGGUCUCUGGAAGUUUGUGGCACAUUAAGAGCGAAUGGAAACAGGGUGGCAUCUAAUUGGAGCCGAUCCUGUAUAAGUGCAGAUGACAACUAUGUUGCUGCUGGAUCCACUGAUGGAUCUGUGCAUAUUUGGUCAAUACUAACAGCAGAAAUAGUGAGUACUCUAAAGGAACACACUGCUUCAGUUCUAAGUUGUUCAUGGAGUGGACUUGGAAAACCUCUAGCCUCCUCUGAUAAGAGUGGAAUUGUUUAUACAUGGACAUGAUCGGUCUCACUUUGACAGUUGUAACUGUGACAGAAGAUUCUGUCUCUCUCAAUCUCUUUGCUGGCUUUGUGUGAGAUACCAAAACCUUAUAAGCCAUUUCAGGUUGCUUGACCCCAAAUCACACUACACAAUGAUAAUGUCCUUCCACUGCUUGGAAUCCAGAUGUUUGUGGGCUUCUAGUUGUAUAGGUUUCUAGUUCAGGAGAUGCCAAUAAUGAACAUCUAAAGUCCAGGUGUACCAUGACCAGAAAAGGGUCAAUAUUGUUGAAGAAAAUGAGGGUUACUAAAAGGAAUUGUUGUGACAGUGCAUCAGUGGAGUAUUUCAUUAUUUUUUAAAUAAAUAAAGGGAACUUGUUUGGUUCUCGGUUGGUAGAAAUGCAUGCAAUGUUCAAUUUAUAUUUCCGUGACUGAUAAUUUUUUUUGACAGGUUGUUUUCACUCUUGAAGAUGUGGGAGUUUCUUGAAUUUUGAACUUUGUCCAGCUUCUUCUUAUAGGAGCUGUUAAAGAGUUUAUAUAUUGAUUUUAUGUCUGUUCUUUAAUUUUUUUUAUUUAGACUACUUUGCUUUUUUAGUUCUUCUUAACUACAUUAAUUUCAGAUUCAUUUUCUUUGGGGUAUAGAUAAAAUUUCUGACUAUAGGACCUCAAAACAAGGUAAUCUGACCAAUUGAUGCAAUGUGUGAUGUUACUGCUCUCAUAUUUUAUUUAAUGCCCCUCUAUUUCCAUUUGUUAUUACCAUUCCAUGUUAAUGCUAACAUUUUAUUCUUAAACUGUUUCCCAUCACAUCAUAUACAAUAUGGUAAGAACAGGGUAAUCAGUCAUUAUUAGAAAAAACCAAUUCCAUGGGUGCAAUUGGCAAGAAAAAAAGAUGAACUUCAGGUAAUCAGUCAUUAUUAGAAAGUUCUUAAUGAGCACUCUUACAAGAAUGUAAUUGUUCUUCAUGAAAGUUUGGGAUUUCUUUGUGCUUCUUUAUCAAGAAUAUUGCUAUCUGCAGAAAUAGCUUAAAGUAGAAGAUGUCAUCUCUUUUGCGAGAAAUGGUUUUUUUAUUUUCCAAUUAAUUUUUUCUCCUUAUGCUUGAGUUCCAAAACUAUUAGGCAACCAGAUUUUCUGUAUGACUAACAAGUUGGCUCCCUAUGCAAUAAUCUUGAAUCCAAGGGCUUGUAAUCUACUUCUGCUGUUUGACAAUAGAUUUCAAUAUUGCUAAUAUGGCAUAAGUGUUCUAUAAUUUUUUUGAUAGACUAUGGCAUAAAUGUUCAAUAAUACUAUGUAAGAAUCAGGAUCAUUGUAAGACUGACUUGCAAUUGGUCUUAUUAAGUAGUUACCAUAAGAUUGUUAUGAGUGGAACAUCCACUCUGGAAUGCUUUUCAAUAGUAUCCAAAAGCUAACUCAUCUGUCUUUGCUUCCAAUAAUUCAUAUUUUCUCAUCUUUGUUGCAGAAUUCCUUUGAAAUGCUGUCAGUCGAUAUAUGAAUCUGAUAUUGAAUUGGAGCCAAUGGAUUCAUUGCCUAUUAGUUUAAUGCCUAUCUAAUUUCUCCAUUAUUUAGCUGCUGUGGUUGAAAUUAGGGAUUAUUGGAUGAACAUAUUGAAAUGAUUAUUACAGAAAAUACUUUAUUUUCAUGCAUGCUGAGUUUACUAUGACUAUUUUAAUUGCUGAUUGGUCCAAAGUUAUAUAUGCCUUUGAAUAGAUUAAUAAUCUUUGUUGACCAAUAUAUUCUAUCUUCUUUAAUGAUUGUUUGUGGUUUAAGACUUUAACUUUCAAACCUUAUCAGUUCUCCAAACCCAGUAGGGUGACUUAAACCUGAAAAACAUUCAACAUAAAACUGAACGAUUAAGGUCAUUUGGUGAUGGAGAAAACCUGUCAAGUUUUACUUGACUAUCCUAUUUUAUCCCCCAAAUUUCCUCCUGAUCCUCCUACAUCUGAAAGAAAAUGAAUCUCAUGCAACAUUCUACAACUCAUUGCUUUACUCUUACCUAGUAUUCUUUCCUUUCCUCUCCAUGACUACAGUAAAUACUCAACAUUGAAAAUUUGACUUCUACAAGCACAACUUUUGGGAAAAUGUAGAUUUAGGAAGAGGCAAGAUGUUGUCAAAGUUGAUUGGUGGUUUUCCAUGUAAGGUCUGGUAAUCAGUCCAAAUCCAGUUUGGGAGUUGAAAUGGUUGUAGAUGGUUACAGAUGGUUGCAGAAAGAUGUUUUGUUAACCUUGGCAUUUAUUUUCAUCCUUCUAAGGAAUGUUCGUGCACAGCUUUGCAUUCCCUCCAGCGUAUCCCCUCAAUCUGAAUUCUGAUGUAUUUGUUAUUGUACUCCAUGUGCUGCACCUUAUGCGUAGAAUGUGCAGCUUGUCAGCUUUAGUACCAUUGCGGUUCUAUUGCAUGAGAGGACUUGAGAUGGUACCUUGUGCACAUUUCUUGAAAGGUGAAGGCAUGAGAUGGGGUUCAAAACUUGAGCAGCUUGCUACUUUAGCUCUAUAGGAUGAUGCAGAAAGUAAUUUUUUUUAACAUAAAAGACACUGUUUGUGCUUCAUCAGCUUUCAUUUUUAAGAACUUGAGAUUUCAUGAAUCGGAAAAAUCUAUGGAAUGUUGGCAUGAGGUUAUCUCGAGUUCAGUUUAGUUGAAUAGAAUACCCUUAAGCGUUGGUACAAGCCAACAACAAAUGAAGACAAUGCAGCAAAAAGAUGUAGAUCACAUUGAUGAAAACUACCGAAAGGGAGUCCAACAAAAAAUCUAUAUUGUGCAACUAGAAGAGCUAAUAUCCCAUGUACUUGACCUAGUUUUGUCUUGAUCUUAAUUAAGUAAUCGAGCUUACCUGCUUGAAAUUUGUGAAAAGCAAUUCUUAGCUUGUGGUUAUGGAGUCAUUCAUCCUUGGAUGGCUCGAUGUUCCUACCAAUUAAAUUGAGCUCUCUCUUCUCCAUGGUGGCAUGCUGUUGGAGUUUUACAAGUGAAAAAUAUGCACCUUUUUCUCCCUUUGCAAGUAGCUCACCAUGCGACCCCUCUUCCACAAUCUUCCCAUCAUCAAUCACUGAUAUUUUAUCUGAUUUUUGAAUUGUGGACAGUCGAUGAGCUACAACCAGGCAUGUCCGACCAACCAUGGUCUUCUCCAGUGCAUCUUGAACAAGGCUCUCCAAUUUGACAUCCAAUGCACUCGUUGCCUCAUCUAAAAGCAAUAUUGCAGGAUUUUUCAAGAUUGCUCGAGCAAGAGCUAAUCUCUGCUUUUGCCCUCCUGAUAGUUGCACACCUCUUUCCCCACAAUAGGUUGCAUAACCAUCCUUCAUGGAACUGUUCAUUGAAGACACAUUUGACACAGAAUUUAGAAAGUGAUUGUGCUCUGAAAAACAUAAAUAGCUAAAUGAAUAAAACAUAAAUAAAGAUCUUGGCAAUAACAAACCUUAUAAAUUCAUGGGCAUUUGCUACAGUGGCCGCUUCAAUAAUCUCAGCUUCACUUGCAUUCUCUUUCGCAUAUGCAAUGUUUUCCUGGAUGGUUCCUGCAAAUAGAGUGGGCUCCUGACUUACCAAUGCAAUAUGUAACCUUAAAGCUCUUAGAUUGUAGUGUUUGAUGUCAAUUCCAUCAACUUCAAUAGAUCCUUUUGAUGGGUCAUAGAAUCUCUCAAUCAUUCUGAUGACAGUAGAUUUUCCAGAUCCACUUUGGCCAACUAAUGCCACUACUUUUCCAGCAUCAACCUUUAGGCUUACACCCAUCAAUAUCAUCUGUUUUGGUCUUGUUGGAUAAAAGAAAUCCACCUCUUUAAAUUCGAUAUCUCCAAUAAGCUUUUCUGGUUUUAUCCCUUUGAUUUCAUCUGGGUCCAUUUUGCUCUUUCUUUCUAGAGUCAUAAAAACUGACUUUAAUGCAUUUGUGCCCUUUGAUAAAUCAGCAGUCAUGCUCCCCGUUUCUGCAAUAAGUCUCCCUGUUGCCACCAGGAUGAAAAAUGUCUGAAACAGGUGCUUAUAUGAAAUUUCUUUAUUGUAUAGCAGCCUCCCUCCAUACCAGAAAAUUAGUCCUGCACUACCAGAAGUGAGGAACUGUGAGGUAAAUAGCCCAAGCCCAGCAUACCAAGAUUGUUUAAGGCUCUCAUUCUUGGGAUCUUUCUGUGUAACCUCAAAAAGUGACAAAACCUUUUCCUGAGAAUAGAAUGCAGUAAUGAUUCUGUGGUUCCCAACAGCCUCACUUGCUAAUUCACUGCUCUUAUUCUGCGCUUUCAAGAUUUUCUUGGACAUACUCCUCAUCAUUACUGCUCUAGUAUAAAAAGCACCUAUGAUGAAUGGUUGUAAAGCGGUAACUACAAUGGCAAGUUUCCAAGCUAAAACCAUACCCAAAAUAACUGCUAAAGCUGCAGCAGAGAUGGCUUGAGUCAACAGUGACAACCGAUCAGCAACAAGAGUUCUUGCCAUGGUCGAAUCCACAGAUAAUCUCGAACAGAGAGCCCCAGUGCUGUUGUGUUCUUGAUCAAACCAUUCGAUCUCAAAUGUCAAGAUCUUUGUGAGGCUUGCCUCCCUGACCCUUCUUGUUAGGUUCUCUCCCAUAACACCAAAGUGGUAAUGCUGAAUGACAUUGGUGAUGAAAGCAAAGAUAGCAAAGGCUAAGAAGGCAAAACAGUACAUUUUUGUUUGUGAUCUAAUCUCAUCAUGGUCAUUGAUGAAGUAAACAGCUAGAAGUGCACCCAUGCAGAAAGAGCUCAUUGGCUGAACUAAUCCAAAGAUAAGAGCACCAAUGCAACCGACUAGGGUUGGCUUCCACUCUGGUGUUGUCAUCCACAUCAGUUGCCAUAUAGAUGGGGGGCUGUAAUGAUCUUCUGACUGUUGGUUGCUGUUUGUCUGAUGACUAGGUAACUGAGGACUCAAUUUGUUUGCUAUUUCUGCAGUGGGGGCAGCUUCUUCAGUGGUGGAGGUGGAAUUGUGACUUUCAUUUCCUUUAGGCUCUGAUAUGAUUUCAUCUUUCAUGAAUGUUGUUUUCUGCAGCUGCACCAUUGCUGAGUAUGGCCCGUGCCUGUUUUGUAUAAGUUGGUCAUGGGAACCAGCUUCCACUACUUCUCCAGAUUGAAUAACAGCAAUCAAGUCAGCAUUACGCAGUGCAGACAGGCGAUGUGCAACAAUUAUAGUGGUUCUUCCUAAUGAUGCCUGAUUGAAAGCAUCCUGGACAGCCUUUUCAGACUGGGAAUCCAAUGCACUAGUGGCUUCAUCAAGCAGCAGGAUUCUUGGAUCUCUUAGCAAUGCCCUUGCAAUGGAAAUCCUUUGUUUCUGCCCUUCAGACAUCUGAAUACCCAAUUGUCCUACCUGAUAAACAUUAAUCCUACGCAUUAGUAUCUUGUUCUUUUUAGUCAGUCAUAGAACUAUAUGGCAGAAAAGCAAAUGAUAGAUUGUCAUUAUUAGGUAGAUCAGCAACAACAACCAAUAUUGGAACAAAAUACCAAAGCAGAUAUUGUUUAAUACUUACCAGGGUGUCAUAUCCAUUGGGUAGUUGUGAAAUGAAGUUAUGUGCAUUGGCAGCUUUAGCUGCUUGAACUAUCUCCUCCUGUGAGGCCUCCUCUUUUCCAAAUAGAAUAUUCUCUUUGACUGUGGUUGCAAAAAGUAUAGGCUCUUGGGCAACUAGACCCAUCUGGCUUCGUAACCAUUUUAGCUGAAGGCUUUUUAUGCCAAUCCCAUCCAACAGUAUCUCUCCCCCAAGAGGAUCAUAGAAUCUUUGGAGCAAAUUAAUCACAGUAGAUUUACCUGAACCACUGCUACCCACCAAUCCAACAGUCUGGCAAGCAACCACUUUAAGAUUGAAUUUUCUUAAUACUAAGUUUCCUGGCCGUGAUGGAUAUGCAAAAUCAAUUUCCUCAAACACCAAUUCACCUUUGACUUCGGUGAUGGUUUUGCCUUGUUGAUCUGCAGAAUCUAUGCUUGGUACACGCUCAAUCAUUUCUAAAAUAAGUGCAGCUGCUGCAUUUGCUUCAGUAAAGUGCUUCACAUUGAGGAAAGAACUGCCAAGAGCACUGCAAAAAAAGCAAGUAAUUAACAGCAUUGAUCGCUAAGGGCAUAUUGAGUGUGGAAUUCAAGGAUUUAUAGCUUCUAGUGACCUGUAAAAUCAAUUGCCACUGACUCUUUGGAGAAAUUUAGAAGGUUUAUAUUAGAGGUGUAGAGGAGUAUGUUCUAAAUUUUACAUUUCCAAGCAUAAAAUUUUCAUUUUGCUAUUUCUCCUGAAGAAGGUCCUUAAAUUUAGGAUUAUUGUCCUUUCUUACCUAUUCUGUUGAGUAACCUUUAAUCAUAAAACAGAACCAUUUUUAGAUGAACUAGAUCCUGUAUUCCUAAUGAUUGGCUUGUUCCGCUUAGUCAGUGUGGUUACCAAGAGUGAUCUAGAGAAUAUUUUAAUGAAAUAGGCUUUAGAUAUCCUUUCAAUGGCAUUACGAGUCAUUCUUCUAUCAACUUGCUUUCAAAGACACCUGAAAUGAAUCACACUGUUUAAGCCAUACCACUUCGGAGGGAAAUUUCAUGUUUUAACAGUAGAAGACAUUUCUAUUUUAAUUAGUCUUGUCUUCUUUUUGCAGCAAUAUAUAGACCAGGGUUUUAAGUGUCAUGUCUUGAGAUAAUAGGGUUACAGUUUAAAAGUUGCAGCUUCUUGAGGAAGAUUGUGAGAUAUUAUGAAUAUCGCUAGAGAUAUUUCGACACCUCAAGAUCUCUCUGCUUAUACUGCUUAACUAUCAAAAUAUUAAGAUUCUUUUUCUAGUUCUUCUGUUUCAUUUUGCCACUGUGGAAUCUAUUUUCAUUUGCAACCUUGUAAUGCAAAGCCAAUUUAAUCUGCUUCUGAGUCACACCUAUGUUUACUAAGUAACUCAUUGUCUUCUUGAUUUUCUUCUGUGUUCAGUUCUUCUCUCUAUUUCACCUUCAGUUCAACUAAUCCUAAGUAGUAUAAAUUUUAAGUUAUAAGCUUGCUUGUGCUGUAAUACCUAGAGAAGAUUGAAGUAGCAAAGUUCAGGUUUCGUUUGUGAAACUACAAAAACUACAUUUUUCUCUCUUUUUAUGCUUUAUCUUGCAUAUUUCAAUGUUUAUGAGUUUACCUACAUGAAUUGAUCUUCUGUAAUUGUUUUAAUGUUUAUGUUGCUUAUGGUGUUUGUAUCUACAUCAUUGUCAACAUAAAUACCCUAUAUGUGAAUUAUUUCUCAUUUAUGCAUUUUAUUUACAAUACUUUGACUUUAAAUGGUGCACACUGUUUCUAUAAGUACUUCUAAAGUUUUAUUUUCAAAUUUCAUUUCUUCGAUACUGAUUUAUGUCAUUUUUCUAAAUCAAAGUUGCUAUUUGGUAUAUUCUUAUUUUCUCUACAACAUCUCUGUGGUUCUUGUCAUGAAGACUUUGAUAUUUAGGACCUUAGGUACAAUGCACAAAAUGUACCAGGAUUUUCACUAUCUUGGCUGGUGCAUAAAAAUAUCUAAUCCUUGUGAUUUUCCCUAUCCAUAAAGAGAUCAGAUGAAGAAAAUAUUAAAGUUUUUUCUUAUUAUAGGGAGUGUUAUAUGCAUGUGCAGGAUUUUCUUUUAGGGGGUUUAGGGGAAUGGGAGGUGGGUAGGAAAUAGUAUCUUAUGUUGAACUUACAGUCCUCCGUAUAUUAUGCACACUCCUGUAGUGAAAACAUUGCCACCUUUAACUCCUUUGUCAGUGACCAAAAUGCUCCCAUACCACCCCUGUAGUGCCCAAACGGCAUAUGUAACUCCUAUGCUGCCAAUGGCCAUUCCCUUCAUCAGUCCUUGUUUGAUCCCUAGCUUUAAAAUCGGUUCCAGUGCAACUGAAUAGCUUUUCACUGUUCUUUCCUCUCCAACAUAAGAAUAAACAGUCCUGAUUGAUGAUAUUGCCUGCUCCACAAUUCCUCCAGCAACAGAAUAAGCUUCUUGUAUCUUCUCUCCAAGCCCUGAUAACAGCUUUCCAUAUACUAUUCCUGGAAUAAUCAACAUGGAAAGUGCAGGAAUGGCAACAAUAGCCAGUCUCCAACAGAGGUACAGAGCAGUCAUUUGAGAUGUGAUGAACAUUGCUAUAUUCAUGAUGAAAUUUGGAAGCUGUCAUGAAUGCUAAAAUAAGUUAGUAUGCUGAAAGUGAAAGAUUAAGUACUUAGUUAAAGUACAAUUGUUUUAAAAGUUUUCUAUUUAGUGGAGCAGGCAAGUGACCUUCUCACUGAGAACUCCUUGUAUGACAAGAAUGUCUGUUGAAAUACUUGAGACUACUUGGGAGGUCAUGGAUGCGCCAUGAGUUCUCUCGAAGAAUCCAACAUCUUGCCGCAGAACUGCUUGUAAAUAUUUCCUGCGCAGUCUAGAAGUUUGCCUUUCUGCGGUGCGUGCCCAACAAAAUCCUUCUGUUAAAGACGCAAACAUAAUGGCCAGGAGGUGAGAGAUUCAGUGGGAUUGUUAUGGAAUAUUACACAUCAGUCAGUAGGUAAUUAUGCGAUUUUUAAGGUCAUACACACAGACUCAUGUAUAUAUCAUGGUUCAAACUCUGUUAUCAAUUGGAUGAAUCAUGGGUCCUGAGUGCUGAAAAUGAGGAUGGUUUUUCUGUUUAGCAGCCAGGUGCAUGCCUUUUUAAUUUUGAUGUCUCAAAUCCUAUCUUCCUUUGACCUCCAAUCAUUAGACAGCCAAGAGCAAAAUGAUAAUUGCAUUGAAGCUUGAAGAGAGAAUUGAGGAUAUGACAUAGAUGUGAAGAUCUCCUAGAAAGUGUGUGAAAAUAAAAAAAAUAAAAGGUCUGAUUGUCGACCCUGAAUCUAGGGAAUCAAAGAAAGGAACAUCCUAAAGAGGAAAAUAUUAGAGAUAUCUCCACAGAUUUUGUUGGACCACUAGAUGCUUCUAUAUGAUAUUGAGUCACAUCAAUGCAUGCCUUACCUGAGUUCCAUAUGUUUUCUAGGAACUCAACCUAACAUGUACACCCAACCCACAGAACUAAAACAAAGGCAAAAACCAUAUCUCUGGUGUGGUAUGCACAUAAGUCCAUUUGACUGGCUUUCCCAGAUAGGAGCCUUCUGUCUUCAAACCAUAUAAAUUCUCAUGCUCUGUAUAAAUUUCUUGCUUUGAUUAUUUCUCAUGUUCUCAUGGGGUUUGUCGACCCAAUUCCACAAAACAGUUUUCGAUAUUCAUGAGAUGAAAUGCUAGUGCAAUCUCCACUGUUCUGUGCAGGCUCUGAUUAAAUAUCUUGUUUACUAAAUCUACUAUAUUGUUUGAAAUAUAAAGAAAAGCAAGGUUGUCUCCUUGAUAGUAUAGAGAUGAAAGUUCAGACCAAAUACCUAGAAAUGAACCCGCACCUAUGCCAAGUGCUACAUAGAGUAAGGCCAAUGCGUACUGCAAAAUGGGGAAAAUAACAACUGCUUCAGUAUAUGCUUGUACUUACUGCAAGAAAUAGAUGGUUGGUUAUGAUUGUCAACCCUCAUUGCUAUUAAUUAAUAGGGGAUGUGGUAUUCUAUGAAUCCUCCCAGUUCAUUGAUUGUUUCUGCAUCUCCAGAAAACAUGGGUGUCUUCUAAAUUUAGAUAUGCUAUGGUUCAAAAUUUCUCUUAUAUUUACAAGCAGAAAAUGAACAAAAUGGAACUUUCAUACUUAAACAGAAAUUGAACGUUAACUUUUGUCUAUUAACCAACCUUAUCUAUGUCUGCAAGGGAGAGAGAUGUAACGGCGUAAGCAUUCAUCAGUUUGCUGAUAACCAGCAUCAUAGCUGACAUGGUUAAUCCGUCUGCAACACAGCCAAACGUCCCCAGUGUCAUCAACACCAUGUCCUUCCAGUCCGAGUAUCUCAAAAUCGACCGUAAUGACCCAGAUGGAGUUGCAGGUUUCCCACUUUCUUCAGGUUUGGUUGAUGAUACAUCAUCCUUCUCUAUUUUUUCAUUUCCUUCUGGUUUGCUUGUUAAUGUAUCAUCCUUUUGUGUUUCUAAAUCGAGUUUUCCCAUGUUUCAGUGACUACUGUCUGAGUUUCGACUAUGAAAAAUUGUGUAGACAAUCCAUACUACAUGUUUAUAUGGACAACAUAAUAGCCCUGGAGCCAAUUUACUAUUACUAUACCGAGCUAGGGACAAUCGUUUUAGCUGAUGUCAUGGCUUACAGUUAAUGCAUCCAGGGAUGUAACAAUCCUAUUGUGAUCUGUUAGUAUUAAAUCAGAUCAGCAUCAAGAUUGCCAUAUUAUUGUGCCUUUGAAAGUAACUUUAUCAUUAGAAUGCUUAAAUUAUUGUAGUAACAUUGACUUGGUCAUGAGGUCUGGGCUACAUGUCAAUUCAUUUCUGCCUUAUUAUAUUGUGAGAUACAGUUUCCUGUCUCUCUUGGUGUUUUUUUUUCCCAUUUCAAGUAGGAGAUACACUCAGUAUCACAGGCUUCAACUGUGGUGCAUUAUAUCAGGAGGACAAAGGAAGCUUGUCAAUACCAUUUUUUUUCCUUUGGAAGCUACUAUUGGAUCACUUUCAUGCUAAUAGAAUCAAACUAUUACUAUAUUUGGGAAGUUUAAUCUUACUUCUAAAAUUUGGCCAGUCCUGUUGCCAUUAUUUGCGCAGGAGCUGGUUGCCUUCUUCAUCAACGUCAAAGAGAAUAACACCAUCUAAAUGUGUCAAACAAUGUCUCUGAUGUGUGUAAUUGAAUCAGCAUGUCCUCCCAGUUAAUCCAUGUACUCUGCUCCAAAUCUUUUUGUAUGCAUUUUCUUGUCCAGAGCAUGACUGCCAACGCAGUUCAGCCAGUUUUCGCUCAAUUUCCAGUCUCUUUCAUUUCGUCAUAAAUCAUUUUUCUUCUUCUAAUCUCUUAGGCCAACAGAUUCGCUAAGAUUCAAAACCGUGGUCUGCUCUGCUUUUCCAGCUACUGAUAAGAAAAUACUUUUGGUCUUAGUGGUCACGAGGUCUCAAACUAGUAGCAAAUUUUGAGAAAACCCUCCCAGGCUUAGAACAAAGAAGGUAGAAAUCUUUAACUAUGAAUGGGGUUGUGAGAUAGUUGAGCUCUUCCAAAACCCUGGGCACAAGAACUUCUAGAAAAUCUCUAAAACUAUCUCAUUUCAGUUUGUAUCAACACAGGUCUAUUUUGUAGCUAUUGGAGUUAAUUCUGAAAUCUCUCUAUGUGAAUCUCGCUGUCCUCAUUCUGCUACACUAAUAUCAUGUUCCAUACAGGUGGGAUUUAUUAUUGUUAGUUAUGCUUUCUCUCUGUUCUCAGGUUACCAGAGCAAGCAGAGGAAUCCUUGAUGCUGUCGGGCUUGUUCAUGGAACACCAAUCCAUAAUAUGCAGCUCUGGCGGGUUGGUCUAGCCAACCUAAAUCUGAUAUGACAUUUGGGCAGUUGGUAGAUAGUUUAAGCUUAAUUUUUUCAAAAUUUAGUUGAGGUUGGCUCCAACAAAAAGCAACUUGAGCUUAAUCCAAGACUGGUUUAGCAUUUUUAUAAUUUAUAUUACUACACAUAAGUGUUAUUAUUAUUUUAAAAGAAAAAAAAAAUGAAAUAGUCUAACUCUACCUUACAACUUGAGCUUGACUCAAACUUGAAAGAGUUGUAUUAGGCUGAACACCUCAAAUUAAAGCUCGGGUUGAAUUGAAUUUGGGUUGAACGUUUAUUAAUUCGGGUUGGGCUGAAUUUCCUCGAAACCAACCAAACCUGCGAUGUAGCCAAGCCAUGAUGUCUGUGACAUGUAAUUCAGUUUUUCCUUCAAAAAGAGGAUGAAAAGCUUGGUUAGAGAGAGCCACAAUUGGUAAAUGACGAAGUGGUUAGUAGGGGUGGGUGUCACGUAAUUCAGUAGCAAUUUAACAAGUGAGAAAAACAAAAUCACUUUCCAAUAGAGUUGAGAAAGCAACAGAUCCAUUUCCUAUUAAGCAAAAGCCUUUAACUUCCACCCCAACAGAACCUGUAAUGUCUAGGACACGGCAUUUUCGAAUUAGGAAGCCAAGAAUCUAGGGAAUUAGAACAAAAUUUUCGUUUCAACCCAGGACCAGAUAUUUGGGAAAAUCACCCCCACACCCCACAUCAACAAGUAAUGCAGAUUGGGUUAAAGCAGGUAGGUCUGGGUCCAUGCUGUCCUUUGGAUAACUCCCAAUGAUAAGGCAACAAGGCAUCACCAGCUUGGGGGAGGUGUCAGUUAUAGAAUUGAGACCAUGAGACGCCUCAGCAAGAGCUUCCAGCCACACAAUAGAGUGCAAGCAUCCAAGUUGGUUCCCAACCAAAUAAGUCACGCAUCCAUUUCAUGGGAGAACAAAUAAUUUGACAAAAGCUAGGCCCAAACAGAUAACUGUUUUUUUUUUUUAAAUAUAAAAUAAAAAAUAAAAAAAGUACAAUGUUUUUAUUAUUUAAAAAAAUAAUUAUACAAAUGUAGAGAGAGAUUAAAAAUAAAAUAUUAAAAAUAAAAAUUAGUUUUAAAACAUACAUAUAAUCAUAUAAAACAUGUUAAAAAUAUUUUAAGUUUUUAAACAAAUUUUUAUUAUAUAAAAAAACGAAAAACAAUUUUCAAAAACUGAUUUUUGAAAACACUUUCAAAAUUGAGCAUUUAGCCCUACAUACCCCAACGCGAAUUAUGCAAGGAAUGAAAUCAAACCCAAAAUUAACCCAAAACCAACAUAGUGAUUAGAAAGCGAAAAACAUAGGAGUUGCCCAUAUGUCUAAGUAGGAACUUAAGGAUGUGUUGGAAAGAAGAUUGCCCACAAAUUUCACCCAUUUCAUUAUUAUGGGCUUUUUUGCUUGGCGUCGAAGCAUAUUUGGCUUUAGGUAAAAGACAAAGUAGUUACGAUGACUUCAUAUUCCACUUGCAGGAUAUCGUGGCUCCAAGCCUCUUACUACGUAGCAUUGCUCGUCACCUUCUUCCCUACUCUCUCUCUCUAAGAUUCUUAAUAACGUGUUUGGCAUGCAAUCUUCCUAAACUGCACAAAACACUCCUAGUUUUCCAGGUUAACUGCUAAAAGAACUUCCCCCCUUCUUUUUUGGUGUAAAAGCUUUGAAAGAGUUAACUGAAUCAACCUUAUAUAAAGGAUUGCUUGUAUGGUUAAAUCAAUUCAAUCACCAGCUAGCUUCCUUGUUCUCCAUAUUCCUCACAACCCCAUCUUCACAUCCUUCAUUAUUGUUGAUAUAGUUGAUGCCCAUAAGGAACCUUCAACUUCUUCAUUUAUUAUCACUUGUUUUGUUCCUGCACUCCCAUCUCUUAUCUUCCAUUUGGUUAUUCUUUCAUUCUUCUAUAUAUACCUGGUUCAGAGUCUCUCAGUUGCCAUCCAAGUAUCAGAAAAUGAAGCGGUUUUUCGUGGUUGCUCUCUCAUUGGUUUUGGUUGUUGGGAUUGUUGAGAGUUUUGAUUUCCAUCAGAAAGAGUUGGAGACUGAAGAAAGUUUGUGGAAUUUGUAUGAGAGGUGGAGGAGCCAUCACACUGUGUCUAGGAGUCUGGAUGAGAAGCACAAGCGCUUUAAUGUGUUCAAGGAGAAUGUGAAUUUUGUCCAUGAGUUCAACAAGAAGGAUGAGCCUUACAAGUUGAAACUCAACAAGUUUGCAGACAUGACUAACCAUGAGUUCAGAAGCACUUAUGCCGGCUCAAAGGUGAACCACCACAGGAUGUUCCGAGGGAGCCAACAUGCAGCUGGGAGCUUCAUGUAUGAGAAGGUAAAGAGUGUCCCACCAUCUGUUGAUUGGAGGAAGAAAGGUGCUGUCACACCCAUCAAGGAUCAAGGCCAAUGCGGUAAGAGAUUUUGCCAAUUUGACUGAUCAUUUUCAAGUGUUAUGCAGAUACACAGUUUUUUUCGUGCUUGUGUGUGCCUGUUCUGAGUCUAAUUGUUGUUGAUGGUGUUACAGGUAGUUGCUGGGCAUUUUCAACGGUUGUGGCGGUUGAAGGAAUCAACCAUAUUAAAACAAACAAACUAGUUUCUUUGUCUGAGCAAGAGUUGGUGGACUGUGACACUUCAGAAAACCAGGGAUGCAAUGGAGGCCUAAUGGGAUAUGCCUUUGAAUUCAUCAAAGAAAAAGGGGGUAUAACAACAGAGCAGAGCUACCCUUACACAGCUGAAGAUGGAACUUGUGAUGUGUCAAAGGUACAUGGUUAGCAACGUUUGGUUUCAUUUAAAUUAGGUGUCUUCUAAUAAUGUUCAGUGAAUAUGAAGUGAAGAUUAUGACGAUGAAAUUCAAUGGUUUUACAGGUGAAUUCGCCAGUAGUGUCUAUUGAUGGCCAUGAAACCGUACCUCCUAACAAUGAGGACGCUUUGCUAAAAGCAGCUGCAAACCAACCGAUAUCCGUUGCCAUAGAUGCUGGGGGUUCUGCCUUCCAGUUCUACUCUGAGGUAUACUCCUGUCAUCCUGACUCAUCUACAAUCUGCAUGAAAAACCUAGCAUGCAGAUUCCAAACCUAUCUACAUGGCUUCUAAUGAUUGUGGAAAACAACAAAAUAAAACUGUAAUCAUAAACAAAAAUCUACAUAUGUUUAGUAGAAUCUCAGUUUAGCUUGACUAGUUCCUAAGAAUCAUUUUCUCGUAUUUGAAAACCUAGACACUCAAUAUAACAACUCGGAUUAGAAUAUCAGUUUAGCUUGACUUGUUCCUCAGAAUCAUUUUCUCAUGUUUGAAAACCUAAACACUCAAAAUAACAACUGGGAUUGUCCCUGAAUUUGGUGUUGUUAUAUACAGGGGGUGUUUGCAGGAAGAUGUGGUACAGACCUAGAUCAUGGGGUGGCAAUUGUGGGCUAUGGAACAACUCUUGAUGGGACCAAAUACUGGAUUGUGAAGAACUCAUGGGGAACUGAUUGGGGAGAGAACGGUUAUAUCAGGAUGAAGCGAGGCAUCUCUGCUAAGGAAGGACUCUGCGGUAUAGCAGUGGAAGCUUCAUAUCCCAUCAAGAACUCCUCAACAAACCCUGUGGGAGCUCCAUCCUCUCUCAAGGAUGAGCUCUAAGCGACAUUCACAGUGAACUAUAGCUUUUUUCAGCCUUCGCAGAUAUUUUGUGUUAGAGUUGCAUGCAGCAGUCCUCAUGGUAACAUGACCAAAUAAACUUUGUCUGACAGAUUUAUAAUAGCAUCGUUAUUUUAAUGUAUCUGCUAAGAUGUGUUUCACGUAUCAGAAUGAAAUAAAGUGCUCGAUUUUACUCUUUUGUUUUACGUAUGUUUUAGCAACAUGAAAGGUUGUGUAUUGGCCUAAGGAAGAAUCGACUAACUACUACAUAAUUAUACUUUAACUAGUCUUCCAUAUGAGUUUCUAGCUCAUGCUUCAGUUUAACAGGUUGCUAGAUGUUAUAUGAUUCCUGGAAGCAUGAGGUACUGCUUGAAUUUUGUAAGAACAUACCAUUGAUCAUUUGCAAGGUUGGUAGAUACUGAUAUCUAAUUACCACAAACAAAAAUCGCACCAUUCUUCCCUGCAGUUCUAAUAUUCAUAGCCAUGAGAAGUUUUGGAAGUUAUCAUACCAGUAAGUCCUAAAGUAAACAUCAAAUGAUCACAAACACAAAGAACAUUGCCCACUAUGUUAAAUUGCCCCUUUCCAGUUGUUGUCAACACAACCCCAGAAAUAGAGAGCAUGAAAUGGAUUUUCAGUGCGGUAUCAUGAACAUAUGCUAUAAAGGGUAUAUGAUUUCAACAACUACCCAUUGGCUAUUAUAUUCUUGCUCAAUUGUAAUGAUCGAUCAGACAAAAGCUCAACAUAUCAUAGAAGCAUUUUAUUACUAAAAUGUUUCAAAGACAAUCUAGGAUGGAGUAGUUCUUAAUUAUUAAUUCUGAAGUACCAAGCAAGAAGCCCAAACAUAGUGGAAGCUUCAUCCAUAUGACAAAUCAGAUUGUUUCUAGAACGUGCUUCAAUCAUAGGUUCCCUUAAGAUUUAAUAACUAGACUAGAGUAGUUUGUAAUUAUUGAUUCGGAACUAAGAAGCAAGAACCCCAAACAGAGGUAGAAGUUCCAAACAUAAAAUUCUAUAUAAUUCAUCAACCAUAGCAUCUGAUGGGGUCAGUGCAGCCCUUUUCAGCAGACUGGCGUAAGCCUUUACCUCCACCCUUUUCCAGAUAUUGCUGAUGGUACUCCUCUGCUCUGUAAAACCUCUUUGCUGGAAGAAUUUCAGUGACAAUGUUCUUAUCAUUCAACUC
RNAcentral lists this long non-coding RNA (84792 nucleotides) under Vitis vinifera (wine grape). RNAcentral's name for it is "long non-coding RNA (VVIN_LNC005784)". Lineage: Eukaryota; Viridiplantae; Streptophyta; Magnoliopsida; Vitales; Vitaceae. The record is from RNAcentral.